CUAGAGUCCAGUAACUCCAUGAUGGGUGUGAAGUUAACACACCUUGGAACCUUGUAUUGAUUAAUGGAAGCUCCUCUUGAUAUGGCGUAAUCCAUGAGUUCUUCAAACGUGCCGUUUCUCACCACCCGGAUUUCGAGUGGGCCGAUUGAGUUGUCAGCAACUCGGCCUUGUCGGUACACCGAGUUCAUCGAUUCUUCCAUUGCUAAACAGCACUGUUUCAAAACGUCGUCGGUGGGGGAGUUCGCGGCGUCUUUCACCAACAAUUCCCAGUAUAUAACGUAGUGGCCGGGGAUGGUUUUGGUGUCGGCGUAACUCGUGUACUCGACGACGCUGGUGUUGAAUUCUCGGAGGAGCCGAGAAGCGUUCUCGACGGCUUUUUGUAACUCGGCUUCGUCGGUUUUGUCCGAGUCGAUGCUGAGCAACACGUUCUUCCUCCUCACGAAAUGGAACUGUGGGGCUGAGUUAUGGAACCCCGUGACUCGUAAAAUGUCGCCGACUCGGUACCUGCAUAAUCCGGCAUAGGUCGUGAUUACGAGCUCGUAUUCUUUCCCGAUUUCCACGUCAACAAGGUCAACGAGUUUAGGAGGUGAGUCACGAGUGAACCCAGCUGAGUUAGGAUCAUGAGGUAAGAACUCGAAAUACGCCAUGUUCGGCAUGAUAGUAUACGAAACUUCCGAUGGUUUGCACAUGGGGUUAAGGUUUAACCCAAAAUAACAUUCCGAUGAAGCGUACAUUGUACAUGCCUUAGGUAACCCACCACUGUAAUAAUCCAAGGUCGGAAUAUACUGUGCCAUAGCACCCGUUACUAUAACGUCGAGGUACUUAGUAUUAGGCCAAAUCCUUGUAAUAAUCCCUUCCCAGCUUUCCUUCGAACAUUCAUGGCGGACAAACCGAGCUAGUUCGGGGUCGGGUUUCAGGAUCUUACCCAUACAUUCCCUUAAUGACGGGUCGGUUACCUUUUGAUUCAAGGUACCCGUUUCGAUAUCCUGAGAGAGUUGUCGCCAAUUAAGCUGAAGGAACCUGAUUGCACGGAGGAGACCGGAGGCGAACACCGCGCCGACACGGAGGACUUGAUGGCGGUCUUGGAGACCACGAAGCAUCUGUGUAUACAUGCUUUGGAAGGAAUCAGGACAAAGGAUGGCUUCGUUGGGGCUGGUGUAAACGUUGUAUGGGUCGUACGGUCGGGUCUUGAAAUGCUCGCUCUUGUAAUAACUGGUCAGCACCGGUCGAGCUAACAGACCACCUGGGGUUCUUGUUUCCGAUUUGACGAACAAGAAAUAUAAGCCCUUGCCUUUGUCUAAACCCGGCACAUAACUGUUUCAUACAAAAAACCCGCGUUAGCAGAGAGAAAUUUAAUUAAACAAUCUUCUAAACAUUAAACAAAUACUAAUAUAUAUAUACUUACAGAUUCAUCACUGGCAUGAGCAAACUGUAGAGCAACUGGCGGCGAUCUAGCUCUUCUUUAAUAGUUGGCAUCAGUUUCCUCUCACCAGCUGAAGUCCCGGAGCUGCACAAUUUCCCAUAUAAUAAUCAAUAUACAGCGAUGAGGAUGGAAUUGAAUCAUAUAAAUUUAUAAAGAACCAAAAAGAUAAUUUUCCCAACCUGGUGAGGAAUUCUGAGAUUGGGUGAGCUGAUAAAAUGGCGGAACGGUCGCCAUUAGCGAUACGUUGGAUUUCAGGCUGAAGGUCUUCGUAAGUAAUGACCGGAAGUUUGGAUUUGAACGAGUCACGAUCGCUUGCCCCAUUGAGUUUGAACCUUCGAAGGUACUCGGUUUGGGAGUUUUGAGUUAAGAUAUCGGACAAAACUCGUUCUUGAACCGGGUCGGCGUUCCGAGUCAUUUCCUCGAUGAAUCGCAAAGCUUUUGCAUCUUUCUCGCAUGCCGGCGGACCCAAAGGAGACGAGAUUGCGGAAUCGACGGCCAUUUAAAUCUUUCUUUAGAAAAAAGGGAGCCUUUUAAGUUUUUUUAAAAAAUUUGAGAGAGAGCUUUUGAUUAUGGAGGAAGAAGAAGAAAGGGGAACUGUGAACUAUGUGAUGAUGAACUUUGGGGAGGUUAGAAGGGGAUUUAUAUAGGGGAAGGGUAGAACGGGGAAGUAGUGGAAAAUUGAAAAACGAAAUACACGUAUAUUUAAUGAAAAAAAAAGGUUAAAAAGAUUUUUUUUUCUGUCAACUGAGGGGGAGACAAGGUGGGGGCCACAACACGUAGACAUGGCACGAAAUAAGGCAGGCAUGUGGGGUUUAGGUGACCGCCAUGUCAGCAUAGCAACAGAGGUUAAAAAAAAAAAUUGUUUUACGCGUCACACAACCACGCGGCUGUUUUCGGGUAAAAUUGUUGGCCCUUGAUUACGAUGGUCUGCCGGCACGUGAGACAGAUGCUUAUAUUUUAAUUUCAACUUUUUUUUUUUAAAAGCCCCAAAUAUUAGUCCAAAUGUUGAAAGUACAAACUGUUUUUAAUUAGAAUCAUUACUUUUUGGCUUAUAAAUAUUUAGUAUUGUUAUUUUCAUUAAUAAAGUUAAAUCAUUUUUCAUUAUUUUAUAAAUAUAUCUUUUAAUUUUUUUAAUAACAUUCCAUAAUUGUAUCAAAUAAUAUUGGUCUUACACUUUUACUUAUUAAUAAUAAAAUAUUAUUUUUAUAUUUUAUGUAUUAUAGCCGUGCAAGUUGCGCUUUUAAUAUUCAAAAGGGUUAAUUUCACAUUUUCACUAAAUAAUUUUAAUUUUUUACAUAUUUUAAUUUAGUCCUUAAAAUAUUCAUAUCAUAUAACCAUUAGAUUAAGUGUUUAAUGCUUAACUAAAUCUAACAUAGAGCAUGUUUAAAACACGUGUUAUACACGAUGGUGGAGUCGGGGUUGCCCUCCUUAAAAUAAAUUUAUUUUCAUUCAGGCCCUUUAUAAUUUAUCAAAUUUUAAAUUAGUAAUGGUAAAAUUAUACUUUGGCCACCCCAAAAAUAAUAAAUUUUUGAUUUAAUCUUUUAAAAAUUAUAAAGAUAUAGACUAUUAAAAUGGUGAAAUUGCAUUUUUACUCUCGUAAAAAUAUACAAUUUAAUCCCGCCCCAAAAAAGAAUUUCUGGCUCCGCCACUGGUUAUACGAUAAAAGUGUUAUAGAGACCCCUAUAUUAGGAAACAAGUUGAAUUUUGUUCUCUCUACUCAAAACAUGAGCAAAAUUGUCCAUGUAUGUUAGAUCAAAUAGUAAACCAGUCUUUUCCUGUUAAAAAUUUUAUUCAUUUAUAUUAUUAAAAACUAGCGUGUUCAAAAUAUACAUAUGGCAAUGUUAUUACGUGAGUGAAAAAACAUAUUAAAAUUUGAUAAAAAUUAAAUAUAACAUUGGUUAGAAAAUUACAUAUAUAUAUAUAAGGAAGUCUUAUUUAAUUCUAUUGAAUAUACGGUAGUUUGCUAAUUGAGUCUUAGUUCGAUUAGUAUGAGUAUUGUUGUCAAUGCAGGAGAACGUGGAUUCGAGUGUGCUGAAGCGCAUUAUUAUCUUAUUUAUGGGUUGAGAAGAAAAUAUGAAUAAUUCUAAACAUCAACUCAAAUAAAAUUCAUGUUGUUUUUGUAUACAAGAGUGUGUCAUAAACACGCCAUAAAGUACUUGGAAGUAUCAUUUUCAUUUUAAUUUUAAAUAAUAAGCACGUCUUCCAUAAAAAUAUAAUUAAAUAUUCCCAAUUAAGAAGAAUCUUAAAUAUAAUAAUACGGCUUAACCAACUAAAUUAUCAUUAUUAAUUUCCCCACUUACAAUUUUUUUUCUUUUAAAAAAAGAGGGAAAUGGACCACCAUAUAUCUUUAAUUUCUUUAAUUUUAUUAUUAUUUUCCCCCUUGUGCAAUGCGUUUUCAUUUCUUAUUAUUACUUGCAUUUAUUUAUUUAAACAAUUGAUUUUAGAUAAACAAUGAGUAAUUCGACACGAAAUUAUAGGACAAUGUUCCAUAAUAAGUAUACAAAUAUUAUUAAAUUAAAAAGAGAUUUUUUAAAAAUAGAAAUUCGACCAUCUAUAUAUAUAUAUAUAUUUGAAUAUGAAUAUAUAAAAAUAAAAAAUAAAUAUAUGUGCAUCACAACAUACACACAUGCCCGAAGCUAAAGAUUGUUUUUGGUUUGGAACAGAAAUUGAAGGCAUUAAAAAACACCUUAAAUAUUAAUUAUUAAAUUAAAUGCUCUAAAAUAUUAUUUAUAAAUUAAAUUAAAUUUUAAAUUUUAUAAUCGAGUUAUUAAAAUAUUAGUAUUACACUAAUCCCAUCCUUUGUUUAGAGAAAACAAGAAAAAAAGUAAAAGUUAAACCGUUUUUUAUAUUUAAUUAUUAUUAAACUAAAAAUUUAAUUAAUUGAAUCGAUAACUAGUGACCUAAACGAUGAUAAUGGUUUUUAAAAGACAAAAGAAGAGGAAGAUAUUUGGGGUCUUUUUAUUGUUGUUGUGGGAAUUAGGUAUUUAUGGAAAAAUAAGCGUUGGCGAAAAUGACGUGUUAUUAUCAGCUGUACCCAACAAGAAAGAAUAAGAGAGGCAAAACAUUGUAAAGUCCUAAGUGCUUUUUAAUUUUUCCUUUAAAUUGUCCAACCUUUUAAGGCACGGCAAUGGCCGUGUUGGAUGCUUUCUACAUUAUGUUUUUUAAAAAUAAAAUUAUUUAUUAUGAUCAAUUUCUAAUUAAAAUCUUAUAAAUAAAAAAGCCUUUAUUGCCACGUAAAAUAAGUUUAAUGGACGGUAUAUUUAUUUGUAAUUAGUGUAAAAAUAAUAACGAUAAUAAAAUUAAAUGUUAUAAUAAUAUUAUAACAUAAAAUAAAAGAUAAAAUAAAUGCAUCACAUACCACCCCACCACCUAUCCAAAUUUAACAUUUAUUUUGAAGCUCCUCAUCUAAUAUAAUAUGUUUUCUAUAAUUAAAUAAUUAAAUGAUGAAAUGGGGCCGUACAAGAAAGUACAACUCACUGUUAAGGGAUUUCAAAGAUUCCGGGAAGUAAAUAACAUAAAUCGUCACGACCCUUUGGCGGUGAGCCACACCGCUUGGAAUCCCGCAUGUGCCUGUCCAUGUGCAUGUGCUGAACCUAGUUUUCUCGGCAAUAAAUCUUGUUGCCAACUCCCACGGGCUAUCCUUUCAAAUAUUUUAAGGGUUAAUUCCGCUCACCAUUCUCGAACUAGGUUUAAUGUAAUUGAUAUUACUUUUUAGAUGUUAUCUCUAAACCGUUCAUACGAUAAAUACGUAUGUGUUUACAAAUUGAUCAAUUGUUAAUUAAUUAUUUAAUUAUUAUUAUUUAUUUAAUUUUUUAAGCAUUAAUCUCAUUAUGAUAUAAUAUCUAGAACUAUCUAUAAUCUAUCUUUAACUCUUAAAUAGGGAGAUAAUGCGCUUUAGCACACUCAAACUCACGUCCUCUUGCACUGAAAAUAAUGUUGAUGGUAAGAUUAAACUAAGACUUAAUUGCCAUGAUAAAGUAUUUAUAAUUACUAAAAAAUAAAUUUUAUCCUAAUUGAGAAAAAAUGAUCAACCAAUAGAAUUGUUACACGUAAUAUGUUAUUAUUAAAAAACGUACAUUUUUAAAUAAGAAUAAAACAAAAUAAUAUGAAAGGUGGAAAAUAAAUUCAAAAGCUAAUGUUACUAAUGAAACGCCAAAAUAAAAAAGGGUUGAAGAUUGUCUGUUUGAAAUUAAGAUAAGGAGGAAUGUUUCAAAGUUCAAACAAAACAACUCCUUUUCCGUUCUUGUAGUUAUAAUUAUUCAAUGUGGGAGUUGGAUACGUAAAUGAUUCAGUGAGGUGGUCGGCCGCCUCAAUUUUUUUCCAGUCAAAAGGUCGGCUUUGGCUCUAUAAAUCAAAUGGAUAAUUUUAUGGUUUGUUUUAGCCACCAAUAUUCCAACCGACUUUCUUUUCUUUCUUUUUUUUCUUCAAAGUCUACUCUUCAUGACCUCAACUACAAAUCAUCAACAAUUAAAAUCGAAUCAACUAUUUUUUAAUUAAAUAUUCCUUUUAAGUAAUUAAAUAUGAUAAAUUGUGGGUAUAAAAACCGAAUUGUAUUUUGCCCCUUUUCUUGAAAAAUGGACAAAUUAAGCCUUGUACGUUAGAUCAAAAAGUAAAUUUGUUAUUUUUGAUAAAGAUUUCAUCCAGUUUUACUGUUAAAAACUGGCUUGACUGACGAAAUAACCAGACAAUUAUACAUGAUGUAACGUGUAUCUCAUGCUGACUUACAAAUAUCAUUUUUAAAUAGUAAAAAUAGAUGAAAUUUUUAAAAGGACCAAUUUGUUCUUUGGUCUAAUGUACAUCGUUUAAUUUGUCCAUCUUUUGAGUAAAGAGAACAAAAUACAAUCUGAUUUCUAAUACAAAAGUCUUCAUGAUAGUUUUACCUUAUAAUAUGACAUGUUUAAUAGUACUAUUAUAUUCAACACCUUUAAUAAUUUUAUUGGAGAGCUACAAUACAACUUUAUGAUCUUAUUAACCAACAAUAUUUAGGAACAACCUUUCUCAAGUUCUAACACAUUUAAAUUAACUCCAAGUUGUAGUCUAUCAGUCGUAAACUUUUCAUACAAUGUUUAAAAUUACUUAUAACUCCUACUCAACCAUUAAAUAGAAGGAUAAACGUGCUUCAACACGCUCAAACCCAUAUCCUCUCGGACUGGAAGCAAUUUAAUACUAAACCUGCUCAUGAGUCGAGCCACCUGCCCAGGCUCAAAAGAUUGCCCAAAAAAUUAGAGGGUUUGGAAAAAAUACUGGGCUCAAAAAUGGGCCUAGAUAAAAUUUAAGGCCUAUUUUCUAUAUGGUCGGUCCUUGAGCAAACAAUUUUUGCCCGAGCUACGCCUAAAUAUAUUAUGGUAUAAAAUUUUAUAUUAAUUGUAUAUUUAUAUUUAUAUUAAAUCACUAAGCCAAACACAAUUAAACACUCAUUAUCCAAAAACCUAAAAAAAAAAUUAUCCAACUAAAUAACUCAACCCAGAAUAUAAAAGUUUAAAUGUAACGACCCGAUAGUCAGGGUAAUUAGGUAAAAGUGUAUUCCCGAGACUCCGUUCCCGUAAAUCAGACUCGUAAAUAUUUAUUAAAAAUAUUUAUGAAACUAGUUGUGUAGUUAAUUAGGUAUUGGUUAAGAGAAUUUGCUUGAAUUAAGAGUAAUUAGGUAAAAGGACUAAAUUGCAUAUAGGGUGAAAGUUAAAUUAUAGAUUAAAGAAAAAUUAAAUUAAAAGGACUAAAGAAGCAAUUAUGCCAUUUUUUAUUAAUGAGGCGGCAUAAGUUAAAAGUAUGUGUAUCAUAUUGUGAAAAGCUAUUAUAUAGCAAACGAUGAGAAUUGAGCAUGGUUUGAAAUAAUGUAUUCAUGAAUUGAGUAUUGCAUGACUGAUGUCAUUGUACGAAUAAAUAUGGUUUGAUAUGUGAAUAACUAUUUAUAUAGCAAUUGUGUGAAUUAGGAUAUUGUUUACCAAAUGAAAAAUAGUAGUUAUGAUACUAAACAUUAAUAUGUCCUUAUAAUUUAAUUGUGCCUAUUAUAUUAUAUUGUCUUUAAAUAUUCGGAUUAUAGAAAUACCACUGAGUCUUUUACUCAGCGUACGGUUUUGUUUUCCAUGCGCAGAUUAGGUAUAGUGAUUUUGAAGAGUUGUAAUUGAGGUUGUGAGCAUCCAUCUCAUCACAUCUCCAAGUGCCAAGAGGGUACGUUUCAAAAUUUUGAAUAGAAUGACAUGUAAAUUAGGAAGAUCAAGUGUAUUCCAAGUAGUAGGGACUAAAAUAUAAGUUAUAAAAAUUUAAUUUUUUUAGGUUCAAAUAUGUUAGUGAUUAGCGAAAAUCACUUUGGCACCAAAUGUAAUAUUCCUAUAUCAGGUUCCUUGGGUCGAACCGGGUAUAGAGGUGUUACAUUAAAAUUUAUAUUUAAUACAAUAAAAUAUUUAUUUGUAUUUUUAAUGUAUUUUUAUCGUGUUAGAAAAUUUUUAUUUUAGCAUUUCUUAAUGCAUUUAGUAUAUUAUAUAUUUAAAAAAAUUUAAAUAAAACCUAAUCUAAAAAAUCAAGUUUUUACAGACCAGGUCAAAUUUGGGUUUACUUUUUUUAAAUAAAAUAAGUUAAUUUUUCGGAUCAAAUGGGACCCAAAAUUAAAAAUUUGAUGUAGACACCUUGCACGAAUCCGACCUAAACUCAGCUCGACUUAUGAGCCGCUCUAGUCAGACUUAAUCAACUAUAACGAAUUUUGAAUAGUUAAAAAUUAUUAAGGUUUAUAUUAGAAAGAAUGGUGGGCUACCUAGAAAUUGGAAGAAUACCAGCUCUUUAAGUUUGAAACUAGUGUCAAUAAUAAUAAAAUUUCAACACAAAUUUGUUGGCUUACUUGACACAUUGGAACAUGUUUUAAUUAAAAAGAGACAAAAGGGGAGUGGAGUAAACGUGGAAGAAAGGAAGAAGGGAAGAAAGUGAGAAGGGGCAAAGGUAGUUUGGUGGGCUAAAAUGUUGUUUUCAAGUCAGAAGUCAAUUAGUCUAAGCUUUUCCCUUCUCCAAUGAUUUUUGGCUUGACAUUCAAGUUUUUCAGCACGUGUUUUCACGGAACAGUGACGCCGUCCCGUCGGGGCCGGGCGCCAAGGAUGCUUCCUCUUUUGCGGUUUUCACGUGGUUUUUAAACGCGGCAAUCAAACCCAAGGACUUGAAAAUAUUAAUUUCCGCACUUUGGUUUGUGUUGCCACCGGCAGCCUGUAUUGCUUCAUGGCUCAAUCUUAUGGCAAUCCGUAGUACGUGACACACGACUUUUGCUUCAAUUUCUUAACUACUAUCUUAAUUGAAUUACAGAAUUUUUAUUUUAAAUUCAUCCUAAAAAUAUCAUUUUAAAAUAAAAUAUUAUCACAUCGCUUUUAAAAUUAAAAAUUAAAAAUGAAAUAUAACAACAAAUGAAUAAUAAUUUCUGUAAAAGCUUCAAAAAAUUCAGAAUCAAAAUUUUUACAAUUUUUAUUUUUAAAAUUUUAAAUUUUGUCACACAAGAUUUUUUAUCUCGUUUGAUGAUUAAAUUAAUGAUUUUAGUAAUGGAAUGAUAUUAUUGAUAUAGCAUCGAUAGUUUAAUAAUAUAAUUAGAAUGUUUUAAAGUUUAAAAACCAAUUUAAAAUGAGGAUAAUAGUUUGAUGAUAAUUGGUGCAAUUAACUCUUAUCUACACUAAAAACUUUUAAUUGAGUUGUUUCACGAGUUAAGCAAGCACGAGUUUAAUUAAUUUUUUUUAUAAAUUACUAUUUUUAUAAAGUAAAUUAUAUAAUUAGAAAUGUGUUUUUGUUUUUAUAUAAAACCAAUAAAACCCAAUAUGGUUCAAUUUACUAUUUCAACGAAAAUCUCAUUUGGUUUUUUAUGUGAAUUUUUAAUUAAUAUAUUUUUGAUGGGUAUGUCAUAAUUUCAUGUUUAUUACUUAACUUUUAUCAUCAACAAUAUAUUUUUUUUUAUAAUUUCAUAUUUUACAAUAUAUUAAAAUCAUAAUUAUUUAAUGAGACUAUAGGUCUUUAAUGGCCUAAAUUUGAGUCGAGUUUUCUUUUGGACUAUUUUAGGUGUAAGUCUCACCAUGUGUAGGUCCUAUCUAAAUUUAUUAUAGUCUAGAUUUGGAUGUAUUCCGGUUUUUAACCCGUUGUGUUUUGUAUUGAGUUGAUUUUAGUUAUAGCCAAUCAAAUAUGUAUGAUUUGUACUUGUUAAUUGCUAAAAGUAAAAUGCUGCAUUUUCUUUAUUAAUUUAAUUUUGAAUUUCAUUUCUUUUUUACUUUACGAAAAGUGAGAAUUCUCUUUUGAAAAAGUAAAAUAAGAGCUAAUCCCUCUAUCUUAAUUUGUCAAAUUUAGUUCUUCUACUUUAUAAUAAUAGAUAACUUUAUCUAAUUGUUGGUAAAUACAUGAAAAUGAAUCGUUAUUUUUACUAAUUUGUUGCAUAUAAAUUAAUAAAAUAUUAGUUUUUUUAAUUUAUUGUUUAUAAAUUAUUCAAAUCUUAAUUUUUAAGUCAAUAAUUUGAUAGUGAGGUUUACAAAUGUUUCCCAUUGUGACAAAUUUCUCGUUUUAAUAAAAUUUGAUAAAAAAUAAAAAAAAUAUGAAAUUCCAUUUUUUUUAAUGAAGAAGGAAACUUUGUGUAAUAUGAUAGAAUUAAUGCAUAUUAAAAUGAGAUACCGUACACUGCAAGUAAUAAUUUAUAGUUAUCCUCAACGUGAUUAGUUCGACUUUAACUCAAGUCAUACCUAGAACGGUGAAUUAUAUAUAAUGUAAGUCAAAGUAAAACUAUCAUAUAUUUACUUUCUGAUAUUAAGUAAUAAUCUUAUUAUUUUUUGAGUUUAAUUUUUUUCAGUAAAAUAACUAUUUUUAAAGACUUUAUUAUUGAUUACAUCUAUAAAAUAAAUUGAUGUGACUUUUUGAUGUCGCAAUUGAUAUACUUUGUGGAAUUCCACAACAUCAUUGUUUUUUCCCUUCAAGUCUUCGGUGGUGGAUCACUACCAAAACUAGUAUUGCUUUCAAGUUUCACAUUUUCAACUUUUUUUUACGGAACAUUUUUCAACUUUAUUAAUUUCCUUAUUCUAACAAAUUGAAUGACUCGUAAUAUCAUUUUAAACUAGUUGAAUUUAAAGCUAUGGUUGAAAACUAGAUAUGUCUACAUUUAGUAUUUGGGUGAAAUAUAUGCUUAUUGAUACAGUGAUGUAAUAGGGAGGUGGUAUAAAAAAGAGAGUGGUCAUCGCUAUAGAGGUCGAUUCACCCAAUAAGGACGGGGAGCUAGAAGUUUUGGAAAGUGGAGGUGAUAAGAGUAUUUAGGCUGGGAGUUGAAAUUAGGUUGAUUGAAUGUAGACUUGGUAUCAUUGGAGAGUUGAUCUAUUCUUCAUCGUUCCUGGAAGUAUUUAUAGGGGAAGGUCUUGUGUAAUAUGAUGUUAACGUGUCGAACUUGUCAUUUAGUCAUCAUUACGAAAUGGGUAGGCGGCGUCUUCGAUGGGAUGAAGAUGUCUGUGAUGGGACAGAUCCUAUCAUUCAUCCUAAUUUGAUAUGGAAUAGGAUAGUUAAGCCCACGUAGUGUUUGGUGACCAACAACUUCAUUUUCCUAAUGAAGACUUUGAGACCCAGACAACGGAUGGCUUGCACUUGUCCGGUUGAUCAUCCCAGAAGGGAAAAACUUGUAGGUGACCUCUCGGUUCGAUGAUGGUAGGCUUAGUGUUUGGGCCUUUUUUCACUUGUUAUGUGUCUUAACAUGAAUGGGGGUAUAUUAAUAUUCCCCCUCCCUUCGAGUCAAGAGGAGGGUUAUAAAGUGGCUUUCCUUGAUGUUUUGAUCCGUUAACUUUUCUUUUACAGGUUGCUUCAGAUGUUGACCUUGUUUUACGAUGAAAUAUUAUAUCCUUUGAGAUUCUACCAUAAAUGUACUCUGAGGAUUGUGUUUUUGGGGAGCUGUGAUAAUGAUGAACAACUUUUUGGAACAAGUGGUAUGUUUCCAUUAGACAUUGUUUGUUCUUCGAAACAAUGUGUUUUAGGAGACAUGUCUAUGUAUUCUUUGGGUUUUCUUUGUCAAGAUUAUUUUGCCUAAUUUUUUUUUGAAAUUUCUAAAAUUUUUGUUGGUUGUUUUCUUGAUUUUGUUGGUCUUCUGCAAAGAUUUUUACAUUUUAAGGGUUUGUUUUCUUUAAUUCGCCUUGUGGUGUUCUUUCAUUGUCAUUGUUAGAGCUUUUUUUUUUGCAUUCUUAUUGGAAAAAAUUACUAGGGGAGAUAAAAAGUCUGGAAAAACCUAGGGUGGAGGUGAGGGUCAUAUUGGUCGUGCUUCACUGAGAGAGAGGCAACAAAGAGCCAGAAAACAACGUCGACAAAGUAUGACCGGGAUGCUGUAACAAAAUUUGAAAGAGGAAGUGACGAGAAUGUUGCCAGCCUUAGUUACCAAUGUUCUACGACCCACUAGGAGAUGAAAAACUUAUUAUUAUAUCGCAGUUUACUUGUGAAACAUCACAAGUAUGAAUUUGGUAUCCUAGAAAGGUCGCAUCAUCUUCGCAAAGUGUUUGACCUAAAUUCUACUGUGGAAAACUCGGAUUCUACCUUCUGUUGUUUCUUCUUGAAACGAGUUUUACUCAUCCACUCCCGAAUUUCAUUUGAGAUAUUGUAUAUGACUUCAAUGUAAUAUCAGGGUAAUUAACUGAUCUCUCUUGGUGGCUACUUUUUGGAACUUUAUUAUGUAUCGUAAGAAAUGCAUAUAUCCUUCUGAGUGGAUGUUCCUAUAUAUGUACUUUUUGCGAGAAUUGGAUGAGGAAAGUUUCCUAGGUUGUUUGAGUUUUACCCUUAAACAAUGGCUCUACGAACAAAGAAUCUAUUCUACAACGAGGAAUUGAUAAUACAAGUGGACUAUAGUAAAUAUAUCCUCGUAGAGUUGAAAUUUAAGAGGAGAUUUGAUUUUUCCAUUGAGUGGACACACCCUUCCAUUGAAAAAUGCUACUAUUGUCUACGUCUACAAGAUGUUCCUAGAGGAUCUCGUGAGCACAAAAUGAUAAAUCAAAAGGGGAUAUUGAUGGUUUGCCUUAAGAUUACUUUAAGAAGUAUUUUCAAAUAUUACCUUAAGGAAAAAUGUGUUUCUAGUUCGCCAUUGAGGAUAGUUGAUGGUUUCCAAAAUAAUAGGAGGUGUCAUUGGCAUAUUGUGCUUUUCCUUUCUUUGCCAAAUCUGGGAUAGCUAAGUGCUUUUGGGGGUGACUUUGAAACCCAUUUGCUAUAUUACCACAUUUUGUCAUCUUCCUAGAUGUGGCUAGAAGUUACCAUCGGGUACUAGUUAAACUAUCCCUUAGCUUCGAGACGAUCGCCAUUUGGAUGUUUUAGAAUCUCUUGCUUCUGAUAAACACAAUCCUGAUAAUGACAUUUUUUAUAAUUUUUUUCGUUGUUUUAUUUCAAAGCUAAUCUUAUUUAGUGGUUAUACUGUGUAGGUAAUGUCUUUUUGUUAAGCUCAAAUGGGCCCAGGGAGAGCAUUGGGGUUUUGAAAGGAAACGACUCAAGAACAUCAUACAUGAUAGGAACUUUUACGAAGGUCGCUAGAGUAGUCAUUCAUGAUUUCAUAGGUCCCAACCAUACCUCUUGUCGUCUAAUUAUUUUGAGUAGGCAGUCUCAUCUUGUUCGCGAGACAUAUCUUAAGGUUACUCAUUCCGUAUAUUUGGCGUAUGCUCUAUCUCAAACUCCAAGGGCUGUUGUUGCUUAGUUAAGGGGUCAUUCUACUCUUUCAGAAGGUCAUACAUGUACUUCAUCGAGCCAUGCACUUGUAGGAAUUGUGUCUCAAAGUGAGAGAGAAAAAUGAUAAAAGCAGAAAAAGAGUACAUUACGCGAAUCCAUGAGUGAGAUAUAAAGAUUCGUCACUUGAAACUCAAUCUCAAUAAUUCCAUCGGGAGGUUAAAUAGGCAAACUCAAUUUUUAACGGAAGAAAUGGCUCGCCAAAGGGAAGAGAUGGAAAAGCGAAUGGAAACCAAUAAGUGUCUGGAUACAAUGAAAGUGAUUGUCUUUGUUAUUGUUGUGCAAUGAUACUUGCUACCAUGCAAGUAACUUUUGGGCUACUGAACCUUGUUGGGAUGAACUUACAACCCUUUUUUGACAUGCUUCAAGAGGGUCAUCAUUUCGAUUUUGAUGUAUACUACCCUAUUGACCUGAAUGAGAGAAGUUCUAAACUUAUACCAUGAGGCUAGUCUACUACAGGGGUGCUUUCACUAGAAUUUGUUUCUUCAUUCAAAGGAUGUCGAUGCUCAAACAAGACCAUCUAGGAAGAUAGCUAUGGAUAGUGUUGCUAGAGAGGAUACUUUUAGCUCUUCUAGUUAUGAUGACAUGGAUCCCAUUGCCUCUUGCAAUAAAGGGAAAGGGCUUGCAGAUUGAGACACCUCCCAUGAUAAGGGGAAAGGUCCUGCCGGAGGAUAAACUUAUUGUAAAAAAAUUGUUGUUAUAUAGUUGUUUAUAAUUUCUCCUUUGUACAUUUUCACAUUUUAAUGAAAUAAUCUCUACUUCUUACUCUUUUUUGUCUCACCUUCUGACUUUUUAUCCUAUCACAUUUUCUAGUAACACAAAAUUGUAUUACAUUAGACCAAAAUUCAAAAGACUAUAUCAGCUAUCGAGAUGGCCUAACAAGGUUAUCGGAGUUUUUGAAAAGAUUUUAUUUAAAACAUUUAUUUAGUUUAAUAGAAUACUUAGUUUAGAUGUCGAUUUAUUAUUCCUUAAUUUUUUAAUUAUCUUCCAGCAGCAGAAAAGAUGAUAUUUACUUAAGUUUUUUUAAUAAAAAGCGGGGUUCAUGCUUAAUCAAUUAAUAGUAACAAUUUAACAUCCUAAUUAAAAUCAUAAUUAAGUGUCAUACAACAAUAAAAAUAUCUUAAGUCCUAAAUCCCAUGCCAUAGAUCAAAUAAAACAUCACAAUAAUUGAAUAAUAAAAUAAAUCAAAAGAUUAAGCCUAACUAACUGAAAAUAAAAUGGAUUGUGUCGAGACUCUCCGAAUAUCGUGCCCGCGUCCUAACCUGGUGGGUUGUUUGUAAUGAUGAAAUUAAAGGGGGAAUAAGCUUUGACGCUCAGUGUGAGUCCAUUUACAACAAAACCAAUGUGACACUCAUUAGGACACAUUUAUUAACAUUGCAUAGAAUAAUCAAAGAUAACAAUUCAAUUCAUAAUAUCGAUUUUUCAAAUACAACCAUCACUGAUAUAACAGAAAUCACAAUAAUAAUUUUUAGGAUAAUCAAAUCAUCAGAAUUGCCACAAUAAUCAAAUUCCAUUCAUAUAUAUAGAUUCACGCAUAUGUAUAAUUUCAUAAUUUUCCAGGUUUGUAUGCACAUGAUUUAAAUGAUGCCAUACAGUUUCGGGUUUUCAACAAAAUAAAUCCUACCCCACCGUUAGACACCACAGUAGUAGUUCUCAGAACUCCUCUACCUUUACAUCAUAUUGCGGUUAAACCACUACAAGUUUGCAGAUAACAACUGCCAUAUUGCUUGUAGACACAUAGCAAGUCUUCUUGGCUGGAAUCUGCUUUUGGCUGUAGUUUUACAGUAAAAGUUCUGUAGAUGAAACCUGUUUUUUCGACUAUAAAUUUUACAGUAUAAACUCAUCGUUGGUAUCGGUCUUUGACUGUGGAUUAAAAGCAGUACCCACUGAUGGGAUUUGCCAUUUCACUAUGGAUACACAACAAUUUACAAAUAAGAAUUGAGGCAUGACUAUGUUCUACACUUGCCAUUUUACUUGCAUAUAAACUGCUUGAUCUUUCUCUGUUCAUAACAACCCAACCCAUGCAAUGCAUUAAGGAAUAUUAAGUAAUCUAACACAUGGCCAAUUAGUAGCAAUUCAAGCUUUUCAUGUAUUCAGUAUUUGAUAAUAAUAUAAGGUAUGUCAUCCAUACGAUUGCAAGUAUAUAGGUACAAAUGUAACAUAUACUAUUCAUAAUUCAUGCAACUAUUCAUAAUUAUAAUUAAAUUCUGUAUUAAUUCGAUCAAUCAUAGAUUCUAACCUAUUUCAUAUCAAAAGGGACCUAAUUGCAUAAUUUAAUUCAUUAAAAAUAGCUCAGAACCUAUUUUGGGACUAAAUUGAUCAAAAUAUAAAAUUCUGAGUCAAAAAUAUAAUUUCUAAGUUACAGAGGACACACGGCUGUGUGGAAAGCCUUGGGCCGUGUGAAAGGGGUACACGACCUUAUGGCUAGGCUGUGUGAAAGACAGUGGUCGUGUGGUGUUUCGAAAAAUCAACCUACAUGAGAAGUUACAGUCGUGUGAUAGGUUGUGUGAAGGAUCCUAGGCCGUGUGAAAAGCGAAAAUCUAAGGUUUUAGGGGGCAUGGCCAUGUAAGUUGGUUGUGUGGUCCACACGAGCGGCCUACACGCCCAUGCGAUCUAACCUAGGCUCAAUUUUAUCUCAAUUUUCUCUUAAAAGUGCACACACCUGACUUUCGAGGUCUCGAAUAAUGACCCUCACGUCCAAGUUUGGCUCAAGAUACCUAUAACGGGUCUUUCGAUCGACAAAUACGUAAGAAUUAAUAUCGACUUUCAAGAUUUAUCGAAAUUAUCAAUAUUUUCGAGAAGAUUUGUAAAAGAUUAUUUUAUCAAUCUUGGAAUUAUUGAGAACAAGUGUUUUAUAGAUAUUCAAGAUCUAAUUAUCAAGAUUUGGAAUGUUGUUGCCGAUCCUGGUACGUUAGAGACGAAAUUGACGGCUUUACGCUAAUUUGAUACGAAGAACAUAUUGAACAGAGGUUGAUUUUGAGUUUGGGAUUCAAAAGUAUUAAUCUCAGCAAUGGGAAACAAAAGAUUUAGCAAAUGAGAAGAUAGAGGAGAAAAGAGAGAAGAUAUAGGGGCAAAGAAACUAUAAUUCUAUUGUGAUUUGGAAAGAAAAUUAAAUAUCUAGGGUUUUCACACUUUAGGGGUUGAUUUGGAAAAUAAGCCAUUUUGUCAAAAAAAAUUUAAAACAUGAAACAAAAUUAGCGUGAUUCAAACCUUGGUGGAACGGGAAAUAUGUUAAAGCCUUACCAUUUGAGCUACUACCCAUACUUGGUUAUUUUCUACCACAUUUAAUAUAUAUACUGAAUUGAAUUUGUUUCUUAGUUGCUGAAAAAUAAAAGAGGAAAAUGGAAAGAGAUUAAUUCUAAGACUAUGGUUUUUAGGGUGUUACAUGAAUAGCCUUCUGUGUUGUGAAGCAUUGUGCUCAUAUCAUUCUGUAUUAAGUGCCUUUAAUUGCCAUUGAAUUUGGUCGCUCUUGCUUAAAUGUUUGGUUGCCUUUUUUUUUAUCUUUUGGAAAAGGCCAAUUUUUGAUAUGUUAUUUGUCAAAAAGUUGAAGCGUGUUGCACAAGCCUUUUGGAAGGACAUAAAAUAUGAUCAGAAGCAUUUAAUUCGGGACCUAAUAGUGACAUUUAGGGAAAUGGUACCAAUGAUGGUGCCUUACCUAGAGUGUCACAUUUGGCCACGUGUAGCUUUGGUGUUGGGUGGUGUCGAGACAUUAUUUAUUCGACUAAAACACAUUGUUUAGUUGAGAAGGUUUAUAGAAAUCCUUUUCUUCUUCUUCUUCUUCUUCUUCAUCUAUUUCUUUGCUAUACUGCUACUUUGUUUUUGUUUGUACUUUCUUUUUGCUUGAGUUUUCUUGAUUUUGGGUUGCUUCUUUUCGUGUCUUUCUUCUAGUCUAUUUUUUAGGUUAAGAAUAUUCAUUUUCUUGGUUUUUAUCUUUGUUGUCUAUCUUUAUUGCUAUGUCUUCUAUUGAAACUCAGCAGAGUUCAUCGAAGGAUUUUGAUUCCGUAAAAAAUAGAAUAUCGAUAAUGACAAUAUAUCACAAAGAAAAGAGAAAUAAAAAAAAGAACACACAAAUUUUUACGUGGAAACCCUUUUGGGAAAAAACCACGGAUAAAGGAGAAGAAAAUUUACUAUGUCGAAUUCGAAUUAAUUACAGGAGGAGUAGACUAUGUCUAUUUAUAGGCUUGUAAAACCAUAUUCUAAUAGGAGUGUAGUAAGAUUGAAACACCUUAUUCUAAUUAAUAUCAAAUAGACGGAGUUUAAUAAGGUUUAAAAAAACCUUAUUCUAAAAUAAAAUAAAAGAAGUAUAGUUCUAUAGGGAUUUUACUUUUAUUUUAUUUUACCACUGUAUUUUAUUUAAAUAAGGAUUCGGAUCACUUAAUUCUAACAGAUUCUUCGGUGACUAAAAAUCGUGGGGGGUGAGGCAAGGUAUUCCAAAAGUGUUGAUGGUGGUAAAAAAGAGGAUCCUCCUUGAAUAACGUGUGAGGUUACUUUUAGUGGGCAUUUCUAGUGUACCACCACAUCAGACGAAUCUACGGCUUUGUUGCAAGCUCGAGGGCCCCACCAUGGCCAUGUAUGAGAUUUCUCGAGUGGAGGGGAAAUAUAACCUUUACAAGACUUACAAGAAUCCUCCAUGCUUUUUGGUUUCUCUAUAAGCUUUAGAAGCCAAUUUUACCCUUCAAUUGUAUCAUUUUCGUGGGAGGUUUUGAACUUCUAUAAAAUAGCUCUCGGGCAAUUAUUUGGAACCUUUUGGUGGUUGUUACACCCACGAUGUGGGUGAAAGAAAAUAUUUUAUAUACUUUUUAAAAAGAAAUUAAUGAUGAUCAAUGGUGGAGUGGUAAAAAAAAUCCUCCAUGCUUUUUGGUUUCUCUAUAAGCUUUAGAAGCCAAAUUUACCCUUCCAUUGUAUCAUUUUGCGUGGGAGGUUUUGAACUUCUAUAGAAUAGCUCUCGGGCAAUUCUUUGGAACCUCUUGGUGGUUGUUACACCUACUAUGUGGAUGAAAGAAAAUAUUUUAUAUACUUUUUAAAAUGAAAUUAAUGAUGAUCAAUGGUGGAGUGGUAUAAAAAAUUGUGCUUAAAUGUAUUAAACACAUGUUCAAUCCAUAAAUUUGUUGGCUUUAGUUGUUUUGUUUAAAAGUUAUAUAAAAGCAUGAAAAAGAUAAAAACACAACUUAGUCAAAAGUUUUAUAUAGAUAUAGAUAUAGAUAUAGAUAUAGAUAUAGAUAUAGAUGCAAAUUAAAUUACAUAAAUACCCUUAGUGUAUUAUGUAUAUUAUCAUGCAAAUUUAUUUUGAAAGUAGUGGUCGUUCAAUAUUUAAGAGGAGGAAAGAGGAUAAUAAAAUUUAAAUUCAUGUAAUUUAAAUAUCAUACGAAAACUUUAAUCAUUAUUAAGUCUUGUUGGUCAAGCAUUAUUAAUAUAAAUAUAAAAAAUGAAGGGUUAAAUAAUUUAGACGUAAAAUAAAAAAAAUUAAAAAUUUCGAAAAGAAAAUUGUAAUUGAUUGAGAUUAACCUAAGUUUAUGUUAAAACAUAUACAUCAGUAAAGCAAAAUGCAUAUCUUGAACAAUCUAAUUGUUUGAAUAAAAUUAAUUAGAAUUUUAGUGUGUUUAAUAUUUUUUAUAAACAUUUUUUAAAAAUUUACUUACGGUCUUUUUGGAUAGGGGUUUACUUUCAGUGCAGUGUAUUUGGUUUUCUUUUUAUCUCAUUUUACAGUACUAUUAUGAUAUCUAAUCUGACCACAACCGUUCUUUUUACACUAACCGCAAAUAAACACCAUACCUAUUCAAAACGAAACUCACACAAAACUUGAAAGUGCAAAUGCUAAAGGUUUUAAAUUGAUGUUUUAACUUCAAUACUAAUGAUGGAGAUGUCCACUAAUUAAUGAUGUAAUUAACAAGACAAAGAUGUCUUCAAAUUAAACAAUGUCAUGAUUGUUUAUGUCACUAAAAUCACCAUACUUGUAUGAAAUUGUUUUUUUUUUCUCUUGGUGCAUUGUACCCAUAAAUAGCAUUUUUCAUUCUACACUUUUAAAGUCAAUGUCAACACUACAGUGAUUAUUUGAAUUUAAUUAUAUAUAUUCACAACAAAAAAAGAAAAAGAAAAAGAAAACCACAAGUUAAAAAGAUUAAUUGGUUGUAAUUCUUUUACAUAUUUUCAGUUAAGUCAAUUUAUAUUUUUUUAUAGAUGAUUAAUUAAAUAUUUUAAUGGGUUAAAUAAAAAUAUUUAAAGGAUUUAAAAUAAAUAUAAAUAUUUAAAACUAAACAAUAAAAAUUUAAAAGUUGAAAUUUACCUCACUAUGAGGUGUGAGGUUAUGAUUAAUUGAUAUUAUACAUAACUUUGUUAAAUCGAAUUGGAUAAUUUCAAUAAAUUGAAUUAAAUUUUUAAUGAUAAAAAAUUAAAUUAAAUUAGUCGAUUAAAUCGAAAAUUAGUGACCUAUGGUAAAUUUUUAGAAUUGUUUUUGAAGUGGUAAAAAACCCAACAUUUAGAAUUGAGAUUUUUUAUUUUUAUAAAUAUAAUUUUUCUUAUAAUUUUCAAAAUAAUUUUUGACCUUUAGGAAUUUUUAAAUUAUUAUUAAAUUAUUUUUUUAUUUUUAUUAAGUUGUUGAGUUAUUAGAUUCAAAUUUCAACCAAUUGAACGAAGAACUAGAGGUCCAAAUGGGUUCGACUUUUGAUUCAAUUCUUACAACAUUAAUUAUAGAGCAAACUAUACUUAAUGUCACUCUAAAAUAAGGUUUGUUCUAUUUUAGUUACUCUAAAAUUUUUUUAUGUAGUCACUCCAAAUAAAAUAAUUUUUCAAACUAAUCAUUCCUGUUAAAAUUUUUCAUUUUCUCCAUAUGGAUUUCUGUUAUGAUACAUUAGCCAACGAAAUGACCAUACAUAGCAUUAUUUUUUAAGUUUUAACCAAAGUUUUUGGACCAUGUUUAGAGACCUCUACGUGAUUAUCCCGAAACACUUUUCCAUUUCCAAAGCCAGCUCCUUUAUGUUUUGGAGUGAACAGAAAAUUUUAACGAAAGUAUUUAGUUUAAAUAAAUAUUUUAUUUGAAAUGUUUAAAUUAAUAAAAAAUAAAAUAAUUAAAAUAAGACAAAUUUUAUUUUAAAGUGAACUUAAAAAUAAUUAUUCUUAAAUUAAUAUAUAUUAUAACUUAAAAGUUGUAAAACAAACCUCGAGAUUCAAACCCUAAACCAAUAAAGUAUCACUCAAAAACACCCUAACUUGGACAUUUUCUUCUGCGAAACUUCUUCCUUUACUCGUGAUUGACAGGGAGUCCAAUUUGCUUGAAAAAAGGUUAAUAAUAGCCAACAUGGACCUAUAAUUAGGUUAAAGAAAAACAAGGAUAAAAAUGGUCCGAAUCUUAGAAAUAUCUCAAGUCUUUCCUACAAGUCAUGUAAAGAGGAAAAAAAAAAGCAGUCAAAAUAAGUGGGUGACUCCAAAUUCUAAAUUCUACCAUGUCCAUUGUUCUCAAAAGUCGAAAAUCAAAUCAUAAUAAGGGAUUUUUUUUAUUAAUUAAUUAAACCAUCUGUUAGAAUUGUGUGACCCAAAUUCUAAGAGAUUGCUUGCAAGUCAAGUUAAACAAAAAUAUAUUUUCUUUCUAGAAGAUUUAGUAUUUAUUAGUAUAAUAUAUUUAGCAUUUAUUAGUAUAGUUUAUUUGACUUACUAAUUUAGUCUAUAAAUAGGCUCCUUCACAAUCUUAGAAUUAAGAGACACCCAUUAGAUUAGAACUCAUAACACAUUCAGAGAAUUUUGUGUUUACGUUUGAGGGUUCUUUGUUUUUCGGGUUUUCGGGGUUUAGUUUUUAUCUCCAUCUUUUGUACUCUUCAUUAUUUUGCCAUUAUAGUAAAAUUAUCUUUGCCCGUGGUUUUUUAUCCUCUUUUGAGGGGUUUUUCCACGUUAAAUUUGUGUGUUCAUCUUCUCAAUUUCUUCUACUAUUUUUACUUGUUCGUUGCUUAAUCGGGACGAUCCUAACAAGUGGUAUCAGAGCUAGUUUAACUUUCAUAGAUCAGCCCGGUCAAAGAUGGCAGCAACAAGGUUUGAAAUUGAGAAGUUCGAUGGUGAGACAAAUUUCAAUCUGUGGCAAGUUCAGAUGAUGGCAAUUCUAGUUCAAAAUGGCUUGAAAAAGGUUGUUACAGGGAAAAAGCCUGAGAAUCUAAAUCAAACAGAAUGGGAAGAGCUUGAUGAAAAGGCCUUGUCUGCAAUCCAGUUGUGCCUCGCGAAUACAGUAUUGCAGGAGGUAUUGAUGGAGAAGACCUCAUUCGCCUUGUGGAAAAUGUUAGAAACUCUUUAUGCGACUAAGUCUCUGGCUAACCGUUUAGUGUUGAAACAACGUCUAUUUACGUUUCGCAUGAACGAAGGUGAGCUUCUUAAAGAUCACAUCAGUCAAUUCAUUACUCUUUUAAAUGAUUUAAAGAAUGUUGAGGUUCAUAUUGACGAUGAAGAUCAAGCUAUGCUAUUAUUGUACUCUUUACCCUCUUUAUAGAAGUCUUUCAGGGAGGCCCUGAUUUAUGGCAUAGACAAACUCUCAUUCGAAGAUGUGAAGGGUCAUUUGUUGAGUAGAGACAAACUCGACAAUGAGUUUGAUUUGAAUAGCAAAGCAGAUAGACAAGCUUCCGUUUUGGUAGCAUCAAAGAAACGAGACAAAAGGUGUCGCUAUUGCAAAAAGUUAGGUCACGUCAAAGCAGAUUGUUAUAAACUGCGAAAUAAAAGAGCUGCUGAGAGUAACGAGGAAGAUGUAGCUGGUGCUAAUUUGGUCGAUAAAGGCGGUGAUGAUUUCUUGUUAGUGUCAACGAGCGAUAACUCCAAGCUUACGUCUGAGUGGAUCCUAGAUUCAGGAUGUUCUUUCCACAUGUGUCCCAAUAGAGAAUGGUUCUCCACAUACAGUUCAGUUGAAGGUGGAGUUGUGCGCAUGGGAAACGAUUCAUCUAGUAAAAUAAUCGGUAUUGGUACUGUUAAAAUUAGGAUACACGAUGGGACGAUUAGGACACUCUCAGAUGUCAGGUAUGUACCUGAUUUACGAAAGAAUCUCAUCUCCUUGAGUAUUUUAGACUUGAAAGGAUGCAGAAUCAACAUCGAGUCGAGCGACAUUAAAGUAUCUCGUGGAGCUCUCGUUUUGUUAAAAGGUAAAAGAACCGGCAGUCUUUAUAUUCUGGAAGGUUCUACAGUGACCGGUGAAAUCGGACGUCCCUCGUCCGUUACGGAGUCAAAGUCAACUCAUUUGAAGCGGAGGCAACUUGGUCAUAGGAGGGAAAAAGGUAUGACUGUUUCGUUGAAGAGAGGUUCUCUUUUGGAUGCAGGUUUUGAAAAGUUAGGGCACUGUAUUCGUGAAAAUCAGACUCGGGUUAGUUUUGAUUUGGCAGUGCACAAGUCGAAGGCUAGAAGUCUUCCAGCUUCUAAGCAUAGAUUCGACUCAGUUAAUUCCCUGCAUAGUUCAAGUUAGGCCCGUGGCGGGUUUUGGCAAAGAUGGCAUUGAAAGAAUUCGUGUCAAGGUGGAGAUUGUUAGAAUUGUGUGACCCAAAUUCUAAGAGAUUGCUUGCAAGUCAAGUUAAACAAAAAUAUAUUUUCUUUCUAGAAGAUUUAGUAUUUAUUAGUAUAAUAUAUUUAGCAUUUAUUAGUAUAGUUUAUUUGACUUACUAAUUUAGUCUAUAAAUAGGCUCCUUUACAAUCUUAGAAUUAAGAGACACCCAUUAGAUUAGAACUCAUAACACAUUCAGAGAAUUUUGUGUUUACGUUUGAGGGUUCUUUGUUUUUCGGGUUUUCGGGGUUUAGUUUUUAUCUCCAUCUUUUGUACUCUUCAUUAUUUUGCCAUUAUAGUAAAAUUAUCUUUGCCCGUAGUUUUUUAUCCUCUUUUGAGGGGUUUUUCCACGUUAAAUUUGUGUGUUCAUCUUCUCAAUUUCUUCUACUAUUUUUACUUGUUCGUUGCUUAAUCGGGACGAUCCUAACACCAUCAUUAUUUUCAUCAAAAACAACUUAAAAAUAAAGUACGUUUUUGAUAGAUUUGGUUAUUGGAACAGGUGAAAAACAGCCAUGCAUGAAACUAGCCCAGUCGGCAUAGGUGAGAGUUCGUUAAUUUUCUUGGAAAUUACACAGAGAAAAAGCAUGAUCAUGAUGUGUUCUUAAUAAUGUUCCACAUUAUUUUCUUUAUGGUUUCCUUUCUGUGUUGCAUCAUUAAUCAAACGGCAAGAAAACAGACCAAAAAAGUGAUCCACUUUAAAGUUUGUCGUCCAUGGAGUUGCCAUAUAUCAUCAUCAUCAUUAAAAAGACCUAGAUAAUUUAUGCAUUAAAAUCUCAAGCUGAAACCAUUGUUGGAUUGAAUGAGAAGAAUGUUGAAUGGAGAAAAUAGGUGUUUUCACUUUAAAGUUAUUUGGAUUUUAAAAAUUAAGACCAAUUUGGAAACAUAUAAUUUUUAGAAUUUAUGAAAGUUUAAGUUGAUAUAGAAUAAAAUUACAUUUUAACCUAAAAAUGAUAAAAAUGUGAUUUAAUUGUUUAAAAUUUAAAAAAAAAAUAAACUAUUAAAACAAUAAAUUUAUAUUUAGCUCUAAAAAACAUACAAUUUAAUUUCAUCCCUAGAAAAUUUUUCUAGCUUCACUCCUGACGCACAUAUGAUUUGAUUAUGAGAUAAAGCAACACUUAAACUUGAUAACUUUUUCCAUUUUGGCCUCUGAAUUUGGUGUCAACAUUAGUGUUGAAAAUUGACAUAUUUUCUUAAUUUAAUUCUUAAACUUGAAUUCCAUUAAAGUGUGAUCAUGUAAUGUUACUUGAAAAUUUCAAAAAAUUUAUAUAAAACCUAGAAAAUACAAAACAUAUAUAUUUUUAAAAAUAAGUGACGAGUGUAAUAAAAUUUCAGAAUAUAGCAUCACACAUUUUAACGAAAUCCAAACUUAAAAGAUAAAAUUAAAAAAAAAACUUAAUUUUAAAAAUCAAAUAUCAUUUUAACCCAUUGAUUAUUCUACCAUCUUUAUAGGACACAUCCUUUUUGUUUAAGAAUCAGCAGGCAAAAGCUAAAGGUGGUGGUUUUUUUUCUUUCUUUUUUUAGUAGUGUGGGUAAAAGAUAAAGGCAUAUUAUUAGUAGAAUUAAAGCAAGGGUACUUUAAGAUAGGUUUUUCUUUUUAAAUGCAUGACAGGUUCGUUGUAUAUUAUAAUUGCAUGCAUGAUGCACUUCAUUCGUUAGUUUCACGAUAUUGUCCUAUAGCUAGAGGCUUUUUAAUAUAUUUUGCUUUUCAAUUCAACUUUUAAGUUGGCUUUUUCAAUAUAUUUUGGUUUCUAUCACGUUUCUAUUUUAUGCCUUUUAAUUUAAUAUAUAUACUUUAUCCAUCAUGCUUAUAUUGGAGAUAUUUUAUCCACAAAUAAAUUCUCAAAUUAGAUUGAAUUAGAUUAAGUCUUAGUUCGAUUAGUAUGUGUAUUGUUGUCAAUGUAGGAAGACGUGGGUUCGAGUGCUCUGAAGCGCAUUAUCCUCCUAUUUAUGGGUUGCGGAGGGGCUAUGCUUAGUUUUAGCCAUUGUGUCCGGCUCGUUCUUGACAUUUUUAGGGUCCUAGGUGAAACAAUAAAUUGGGCCUUUUAAAAAAAUAUUAUAAAAUGUAAUACAAUAAAAGCUGAAAAUUUUUUGAGGCCCUAGGAGAUGAAGCAUUUACGGUGAAAAGUUGAAAACCCUAGGCAUUUAAUUAAUUUAUUUUAAUCUAAAAUUUUUCCCACAUUAAAAGCUGAAAAAAUAUAUUUUUUAGGACCCUUCCAGCCUUGGGCCCAAGGCAGCUGCACUCUCAAAUAACCCCUAGGGCCGAGCCUGAUUGUGUCAAACAGAACUAUUAUGAUCAGAAUCUAUAAUGAGAUUAUUCAAAAAAAAUUAUGCAUGUAUCAAUAAGUUGAAUAAUGAUCGGGAGAAUUGGAUUAAAUUAAUCAAAUUAACUAGUUAAUUUUACAAUUUAAAAUAUUGAAUUUCAAAAAUAAAAGAGAUAAAUAUCAAAUUUAUAUAUGGACUUUGGUUUAAUGUGUAAUUUGAUACAUGAAUUUUGGUUUGAUGCAAUUAUACAUAUGAAACUUGAACUAUGGUUCAUGUGUUGUUGAGGGAGGUCGACUCCUUCGCAAGAAUUAGUCUUUGAAGUAUCAUUUGCCAAGUAGUCGACGUUGCCUUUAACAAUCGAAAGUAUUGUCCUCUUGUCGAGGUUUUGUCCCCCAACCUUCACGAAGAGUUAAGUGUUAAUAUUGGGCGUGUGAAUAAUUAUAUAUGGAGGUAUAUGGGCGCACCAUGGAUCAAACCACCAACAUAGGCUUUAUAUAAACCUUAUAAGCAAACCUAGUACCACUUGAGCUACGGACGCAGUAGACGCUGCCCGCAACAUAUGUAAUUGAAGUUUUGAUUUUGAUUCAAUUAUACAUAUUUAAAGAAAUGAAUACAUAAAUUUAUUUUAAUAUUGGAUUAAUAUAAUUACUUGUGUAUGCAUUAUAUCAACGUAAAACAAUGCUAAUUUGAUAAUGUUGUUACUGAUUUGUGAAACUUAAAUCAAAUAAAAAUUUCAUACAUAAAAUCUCACAAAAUAAAAAGUUCAUGUAUUAUAUUGCACAUUAAAUCAAAAUGCAUGUAUAACUUUGAUAUUUAUCCAAAAUUUUUUUUAUCAAAACUGGUAAAAGAUAGAGACUUGAAAACUAGAAAGAUUGAUUAAAAACAAUUAAAUAGUCAUCUAUCAACCGGGUCCCAACUCAAUUAGAAAAUUACCAAAUACCCAAUCAUUUUAAAAAAUAAUAACUAUAUUAUGAGGUUUUUUCGUCUUUUUGUAUUUUGAUAUCGUAUCUAGAAUAAUAUAUGUAUAAUAAGAUUUGAACCCAAUAAACAAAAGCUUUUGUUAUUUUAACCUUAUCGUUUUAACUAGAGCCUUAUUUAUUUUAUAAAUUUUUUUGUUACAUAAAUUCUUUUUGGCUCACGUUGUGCGACAAUUUAGUGUUUUUUGGUUGAUUUAUUAAUCUAUUUUUAAAUAUAAUAUUAUUUUAAUUUAUUUUUAGAUUUUUAAUUAUUCAUAAUUACCAUUUUUAAAAUUUUUAAUAUAAUUAUACUGCUCGAUUCAAUCCAUUAAAUCGAUAACAAAAAAUUCAAUUGGUUCAAUUUCCAAUUCGUUUUUCUAUCGAUGAGUAACUCCAAGUCAAAAAAUAUGUGUAGUGUGAACCAUAAAAGUAUUAUGGAGGUCACUGUGUUAGGAGUCAAUUUGCAUUUUGCUCUCUCUACUAAAAAAUUGACAAAUUAGCCCCUGUACGUUAAAUAAAAGAGUAAAUUGGUUCUUCUAUUAAAAAUUUCAUCUAUUUCUACUGUUGAAAACUUGUCCUUGUACAUUAGCAUGAGGUAUAUUUGACACGUCACGUGUAACUGUCUAGCUAUACCGCUAGCUACACCAAUUUUUUAUAGUAAAAAUGGAUGAAAUUUUUAAUAGAAAUGACUAGUAUACUUUUUGUUCUAAUGCAAAUAGACUAGUUUACUCGUUUUUGAGUAAAUGAGAGUAAAAUACAAUUUAACUCGUAGCAUAGGGGCUCCAUGGUACUUUUAUUUAAUGUAAACCAAUAAGAUCAAACUAGUAGAGAGAACAGGAGCCACUGGGCCAAAGCCACUGAUUAGCACUUCUUAAUUAAAAAAUUGCAAAAGCCCAAAUAUAAAUUUCAGCCCAUAAAAUCUGGAGAAACAUUUUUCGCUACCAGCGCAAAAUAGCACGAAACUGCUAAAACAAAGUCCAGGUUCACAGGCCCUUUUCACUAUUACAUAAAGGCUUUAUUUGUAGAUAAACCCCUAAACUAUACCUCAAUUUGGAGAUUGAUCCUUAUAUUAUUUUCAAAGAAUGAUACUAAUUUUUUAUUUUAUCUCAUUUUGAAAAAAAAAAAAUUGUACAACAUCCAAUAAAAAUGCCACGUUGCAUGUUCAUAAAAUUUUUUAGUAAACCGAAACAAAAUUAAUAGUUUAGGUAUCCUUUCUUUAUCUUAAAAAAAAUUAAGGACCAAUCUGAGUAUUAGGAUAUAGUUUAAGGGUCAACUUACAAUAAAUCCUUGCAUAAACACCCCUUGAUUUUUUCUCAAUUUUCUUUUUCUUCUUUCUUCUUCUUCUUUCUAUCACCGCGCUGAAAAUCUCCUCUCUCUCCGUAUAGUUUCCAAAAUCCAACGCACUAGAUUCAAGGUCAGUUAUUUUAUAACCUUAAUUUUUUAUAAUUUUAAUUAUUAUUUUGUUGAAAGAAAAAAAAAAGAAGAAAAUCUCUAAGUGAAGCACUAAUAAUUUCAAAUCUAAUUCUCAUUGUUGUUCUCUCAAUUGUUCAAUAGAAUAUUCGAAAUGUCAUCUCAGUGAAGCUUUUUGAAUUUUGUUCUCCUUGUUUUCCUUUUUUUUUUUUGUUUAAUUUCGUUUUGUAUUUGCUGAGAUAACUGAGGUCAAGAUAGAAAAGAAUGGGAAGGUUUUUCGAAUUUCAUUUAAUUUUCUGUGUGGAGUUGAUCGAUUUUGCUUAGGUUACUAUUUGUGUCCUCAGUUUAUGUCUCUAUUUACAUUAAGAUUUUUUUUUGGUGAAAAUUCAUCCGUUUUAAGCUGGAUAUGAGCAAUUUCUUUGUUAAAUUGAGCUGUGAAUGAUGUUAUGUUAUCAUUAGGGUUUGAUGUAGAAAAUGACACCUAGAUAUUGAAGAUCUCUUUGUUAAAUGCAGGAAAGAUUGGUAAGCUGGCUAGUUAAAGUAAAUAUAUAGUUUUGGUUAAAUGAUAAAUUCUGAUAGUGAAGUACAGAGAUGUACAUUUGAAAAAUGCACAUUGUCACUUGCAUGCUACUAAUAGAAAGUUAAGUUAGGGUAUGCAAUGGCCUUGUGUCGAGGCGAUAGUUGAUGUUUUAAGGUAGCUCUUUCAAAGUCUGCUCUGAGUAAUUUGUUCUUAAGUUUAUCUUUUGAACAUCUAGUGUUUUAUAUGAUAUCUUGAUUUCUAAAUUGUUUUUAACAAAGAUUUUGCAUUGCGAUUUACCUCCACUGCCUAUUUUCGAUGAAGUUUCUUAUUAUAAUAAUACUGUUUAUUACAUUUGUAGACAUGGUAAUUUUUAGUUUUUUUUCCUCUCACUGUCUCUCUCCCUCCGCUUUUCCCCAUAUUAUAGUGUUUUUCUUAUUCAAAUGCAUAAAUAAAUGGAGAUGCAUUGGACAAUUUCUGUUAUGAUCUAGCUUGGAGAAAUAAAUGGUCCUAAAUAGCGAACUCUAUUCGUUAGCUUAUGAAACAACAAAGUAGUAAAACUGGCAAUAGCUUGGUUUUUAAUGAAGCUUAAUGUCUUAGGAUUUCUUACUUUAUUCAUUGUUAUUUCCUUUUACUGUGUUUCCUUGCGAGUAUUUUAGGUCUGCUUUAACAUUAGAUGACUGAUAGUUGAUAUUUUACUUAUUUCGGUUGGUUAAUUAACGUUGAUCCCUAUAAUAUUCCAUCUCUCGAGUUUCAUUAGGUUAAUUGGGAUGUAGGAUGGCUGCUGCUGGUGCAUUGAAUUCUACAUGAAACAUUCUUGAAAAUUAUUGCUAUCACUUGCAAUUUUUUUUUUUUUUUUACAAAUUGUGAUUGGUAAGACUUGUUCUUUUUAUUGUCAAUUUAGGUGAAACUUAUGUUACAGUUUUGGGCUUUCAAUUGUAUGUUUGGAUCUUUGGAUUCUGUCUUCUGAAUAAUUUUACCCUCUGCUCUGUCAAACUUUAUUAUCUAUUUAUUUGCUAAAACUAAAAAUCCCCUACUUAUUUUGGUAAUAUGGAUGCUGAUAUUUUUCAUUGCUAGCUUUCUACCUGAUAUGAUCAAUGUUGAACAUAUGGGCGUUUCUCCACCAGAAACAAAGAGCGAAAAAGGAAACCAUUUUGCCCCUGAAGAGACAACAGCAGAGCAGGCCCAUGAAUUAGGUAGUGAAUAUUUACAUACUGAACUUUCUAAAAAUAAACAUCCAUGUGGUUAUGCAAUAACUCGAAACGAAUCAGCUGAAACUGCCACUGGUGUGUCUUUCUCUGACAUUCACGAAUCAUCUUCUGGAUAUGUGGAUAAGAAGUCUCCACCUGAACAUUUGGGUUUGCUUCCUAAGUAUGCGAGUGAGCAUAACCCUCCCGAUAAUAGUUUUUGUCAUCAAGAAACCGUAUCAGGGAUGACACAUGAGUAUGGUUCUGGAUAUGUGCAUGAGACAUCAGAAAAGAAGCAUCAGCCUGGUUCUGAUAUUGUUCAAAAUAAUCUUGAAGAAGCAUGCACUUUGGUUUGUGGCCUUCCUGCUGAACAUUUGCGACCAUGUUCUGAAGAUUUUUCCAAGAAUGCUCGCACUGAAAGUUUAUGGGUGUUGCCUGAAGAUUCAAGCAAGUGCACCCAGAUUGAUCAACUUUCAUGUCCGCAACUAGGUAGUGUGGAACCAACAGCUGCCUUUGGUUCUAUAAAUACAUGUAAGGAACUUGGUGAACCAACAGAGCAGCAACAACAGCUUGGUUCUGAAAGUUUAUCAAAUGGUAUAGGAAAAAGUCCUACUGCUACAUCUAGUAAUGCUUUUUAUCAAGCCUUGGAAUUGUAUCCUGAAGUUAUGAACCAGAGUAAUUGUGGCGAACGUUUUCAAUCACCUUCUGAAGGUGCUAGCAUUGUUUCUCAGACUGGAAAGAGUUAUCUUGUUGACCCUUUAGGAUUGCCUCCAGGAUUUGAAUCUGGAAAUUCUUGUGUUCAACAACCAAGGCUCCAUUCUGAAGACAUGGCUCAAAGUUCUGGUGUAGAACAGCAUGAAGCAACGCCUAAGAAUUUACUUGAGAAUUCUGUCCGAGGCAGGGAUGGAGAAUCUUCAAAAACAAGGAAAAAGUAUACGCCAAGACCUUUGACAAGCAGUGACAGGGUCUUGCGUUCAAAAUCGCAAGAGAAGUCUAAAGCUAGUGAGUUGAGCAAUAAUAUCACUGAUAUUGGCUCUAGUGAGCAGCAAAAAGGGAGGAACAGGAAUAAAAUGAUUGAAAAAAGAGAAGUUUCUGAUGAAUAUUCAAGAAUCAGGUCACAUCUUAGGUAUUUAGUGAAUCGAAUAAACUAUGAACGAAGCCUGAUUGCAGCAUAUUCGACAGAAGGCUGGAAGGGACUAAGGUUUGUUUAAUUUACUGUUUUAUCUUGUUUGUUGUUGCUACAAUAUUUUGUUUAUGAGCUGAUUCUUAUAGCAAUGGUACAAAAUGUUUCUGCCUUGAUCUUAAGUCUAUCAUGUCAUAGAUUAUAGAAUUGCCAAAGGGAGGUCAAAGAAAAGAAUACAAAUUUAACCAUCUAAAUACUACCAAAAACUUGUACUGCCUUAAGAAUAGAUCGUCUAAUACCAAUUUCAAACUUAAUGGAAUGGUUAUAAAAGCGUGGCAUUGAAUCUUCAUCAUCAUGAACAAAAUUAGUCUCUAGGAUCAGGGCCUGUAUACUUAUUAUAGCUUCUACAAGCUUUCUUGUUGUUUCUCACUAGUGCCUUCCUCAUAUUGUCAUUUUUUCUCUCAUAUUGUUUUCACCAUCAGUGUAAUUGGUGCAGUAUGUAUUUCAUUUUUGUGGUUGUAUCUGUGCUAUUAUGUAUUAUAGAGAUGACAACUUAUAAAGAUCCUCAAAUACUUUGCAGUUUCCCAGAUAGGAAAAAGUAUUUGAAAAUUGUGUAAUUUUAAUAGUAAAAGGAACUGUUUACAUGAUUAUAGUGCUAAAGAUUGAUUUCCCAAAAAGAUAUCAUAAAUUUAUAACCCAAAUCAGGUAGUAUAGAUUUAUAACUUCAAUUGUCUUUGUGUAUUAACUGUUGAGAUUUGAAGAAUAAAUUCAGCAUUAAUCUGCAGAGAGUAGGUUGCUUUGGACUGAAAUUGAUACUGAUACUUCACAUCUGUCAUCAACCUGAUUGUCCAUUUCCCUAUGGAUAGCUAACAUCUGUUUGUUGCUUUGGACUGUUUGUGUAACCUGCAGCUUAGAAAAGUUAAAGCCAGAGAAGGAGCUUCAACGUGCUACAUCUGAAAUUCUUCGACGCAAAUUGAAAAUUAGAGACCUAUUUCAACGUAUCGAUUCAUUAUGUGCUGAAGGAAGGCUACCAGAAUCUUUGUUUGAUUCUAAAGGAGAAAUUGACAGUGAGGAUGUAGGAGAAUCAUAGUUACAAGCAUUGCUUGUAUUUUCUUAAUUGCUAUUUUCUUAUUGAUGAUAAUAAUUUGUCUUGGAAUUGGAAAUGCUUAGACAUGAAAUCCUUGAAUUGCAGAUAUUCUGUGCAAAAUGUGGGUCUAAGGACCUGUCUGCCAACAAUGAUAUCAUACUCUGUGAUGGUGUUUGUGACCGUGGAUUCCAUCAAUAUUGCCUGCAACCGCCUUUGUUAAAAGAAGACAGUAAUACUCUCCAUUGCCUGAUUUAGACUAAUGAAUUGGUAGUGGGUUUUGAAAUUUUUUUCUUAUCAUUAAUGCUUUUUCUUUUUCUACCUAUUCCCCUUUUGCCACAGUUCCUCCCGGUGAUGAGGGUUGGUUAUGCCCCGGAUGCUAUUGCAAACUCUUUUGUAUCGAACUGGUUAAUGAAUCUCAAGGAACAAGUUUUUGUCUUGCUGACAGUUGGGAGGUUGAUAACAGAUUUUCUUUCUUUUUAUUAGUUAUUACUUACCCAUGCACGCAUGUGCGCCCGCACACAUAUAUCUAUUUUAAGUCCUUACCAUGUUCCUUCCUAUCAACAGAAGGUCUUUCCUGAAGCAGUAGUAGCUGCAGGUGGACAAAAUCAGGAUCCUAACUUAGAACUACCAUCAGAUGAUUCUGAUGAUAGUGAUUAUAAUGCCGAGAAUUCAGAACCUGAUGAGAAGGAUCAAGGAGAUGAGUCAAGUUCUGAUGAAUCUGAUUUCACUUGUUCAUCUGAGGAAUUGGAAGUACCGCGUAAUGUUGAUCCAUGUUUAGGGCUUCUGUCUGAUGACUCGGAGGAUGAUAAUUAUGAUCCUGAUGGUCCAGAUCAUGAUAAUGUGGCUGAGCCCGAAAGUUCAACUUCAGAUUUUACAUCUGAUUCUGAGGAUCUUGGUGCUAUGUUAAAAGAUAAUAGUUCUUCCCCAAAAGAUGGACCUGUGUCUAACAUUGGUUCCACAGAUUCCAAAGGACAAAAACCUAAACUUGGCGGAAAUGAGUCCCGGAGUGAUAAACCGUCAUCAAUAAUGGAUUCAGCUUCUGGACAAGAUGGUACUGCUGUUUCUAAGAAACGAAGCAGCGAAAAGUUGGACUACAAAAAGUUAUAUGAUGUGAGUGUCAUUUCAAAAUAAAGUAUUAUCUUAGACAUGGUUACCUCUCCUGGCAUAUUUUUCAAUUCUCCGUUUUUCAAUUUCACCAUUUAGAGAACUUGCCAAGAUCCAAUGCUAUAGUAGUUCAUGUAACUUUUUUGACAGUUCAGUCAUUUAAAAAUGUUUUGGUCGUUCCUUCUUGGUUUGCUCAUUUUCUUUUGGGUAUUCACAGGAGACAUAUGUCAAUUUUCCUUCUAGUUCAAGUGAUGAUGAAGAUUGGAGUGAUACCAUUGCACCAAGAAAAAGGAAGAGACAUGCCGCAGGAGCCUCUUCAGCACCAGAAAAUGGAAAUGCUUCUUCAAGUAGGAGUGUGUCAAUUUCCGAAGGUUCAAAGCUGAAUCCAGAGCAUAAACUGAGGAGAAACAUGCGCCAGAACUCAAAUUUUAAGGAUACAAAUUUAUCCCCUGCUGAAUCAAAGGGUGGCACUUCCGUAUCGGGUUCAAGUGGUAAAAAAGCAGGUUCAUCAACACAUAGAAGACUCGGAGAAACUGAAAAGCAGGUAUACAGGGUGUCUUAUACGACUGAUAAAUGACUCGGAACGAAAACCAAACAUUUGUAUAAUCAAAGCUUUUUUGCUUGUGAAAAAGUAGUGAUCAACUUUAUUAAUACUUCGAAUCUUUGUCUUCUAAAAAUGUAGUGAUUUAAUUUGGGUGGAUAUUUUGGUGUGCAGAGGCUUUGUGAAUCGUUCAGGGAAAAUCAGUAUCCUGAUCGAGCCACGAAAGAGAGAUUAGGUAAAGAUCUCGAUAUGACUUUCCGGCAGGUAUUACCUCUCUCUACUUGCAAUGCAACUAAAUGCCAUAUUUUCUCAACUAUCUCAUUUUCUUUUCUUGAGAAUCUUCAACAACUUAAUGUUGUUGGUUUAAUUUCGGGGUUCUUAUUCGUGAAGGUCAGCAAAUGGUUUGAAAAUGCUCGUUGGAGCUUCAAUCAUCCAACAUCUAAUCAGGAAACCACAGCUAAAAGAGUUGCAGAAAAUGCCAUAACCUCUGUUGUUCCGAAGAAAAACUGAAUGAUCGGCAUCGUAGAGAGGGAGAAAGAGAGAAAUCAAAAUUGGUGAAAUGGAGAGGUAUUGAGGCAGUUGAUUUAUAUAGCUUUAAAUUUAAUGAACAUUAUUGGAUAGGAAUAGAAGGAACUUUGUUGCUCGAGGAAAAUUUGCAGUGAAAUGAAGUUGUGACCCUUAUCCAAAUAGAUAUUUAAAUGCUUUAUUUUUUAAAAUCUCUGUUUUAAUUAUUUUUUUAUAUAGGUUUCUUUUUCAGGAUUUUUUUUAAAGAAUGAAUGAAUGUAAAUAGGGGUGGGCAUUUGAUCAGACGAGUGAAAAGUUUCAUGUUAAUUAAGUUAAAUUUUAUUUUACCAUUCUAACUCGAUCUGAGUUAAAUUAAAAAAUUAAACAUGUUAAAUUAAAAUAUUAUUACAGUAUAACUAAUUUCAUGUUAGACGAUAUAAAUUUGAAAAUUUUUUUUAAAGCAAAAUAAUAAUAAAAAAUACUUUGGUAUGAUAAACUUGAAUCACUAAUUAACCUGUUUAGGUCCUAAAAUUAUUAUUUUAAAAAUUUUAGAAAUUUUUAACUUUAUAUAUUCUUUAGUUUUUUUUAAAAAAAAUUUAUAAUUUUUUUAAAAAAUAAAUUUUAGAAUUUUUAUAAAUAUUUAGAUUUUUAAAAAUUAUUUUAAAUUUUUUAAAAUUGUUUUAACUUUUUUUUGUAAUUUUUGUGGAGAGAUCAACUUGUUCAUUUUUAAAAUUAACAAAAAUCAAAAAAUACUUACACCCCAAUCUGUCAUUUGAAUUAUUCAAAAUCGAGUUCAUCGAUUUGAUAUAGAUUAUACAUAUCAAAUUAAACUUUUUCCUACUCCUGUAUCAGGUAAAGUCCUGAAGAAUAGACCACAACUUGGAACUUAGAUUCAAAUUGAUGGUUCUUCAAUUGCAAUGCAAACGCGUCGGUCAAAUAGGUCAUGCCGCAAGAACAGCCUUUGCUCAUUUGAGCCACCCAUGCGAUGAGAGAAGUAUCAAAACCGAAAAGGCAUAAUUCACUAUGUGCAUGUAAAACGUAAAAACCAUAAGCACAAUAAUUACAAAACAAAAUAUUAUGUUAAAGCUAUCAAUAACAUGCAGUCAAGCAUCACAAACCAAAGGAAUUGAUGAUCAAUUGGAGCAAAAAUCUAAAUGUGCUUAACAAGGUGAUCAUAUAAGAGAAUUACAGGUAUCUUCCUUACAGUAUCGUAAAUAGAAAACGUCCUUUUUUUAUUGAGAUUUUUCUAAUCAGACGACUUAAGCCUCUGGUUCCCCACGGUAACAAACUAAUCUUCGACAUCCAAUUGCACUCUGCUGUGCUCAUCCAUGGCCUUUCAAGUACCUGCAAUGAAAAUUCGUGAAGUUAUCUUCACAAGGUUCUCGAUCAUUUUGGAUAGAGCUGUUUAGCCACAGCUUGCUUCAUUGAAUUUAUUUGAUGUGAACAAAUGUUAUUAGACCAAAAAUCAUAAUUCAAGAUUGAAUUUUACUUGCAUGCAAGAAACAUAAAGCACAAAUCUUAGAAACUCAAAGUCUGAGAAAAAUACCCACAAACAAAGGAACAAAACUAUAGGAAGGUUCCCGAUAGUUGCAAUAAGCUAGCAAAGUGCUUUAAGUGAUCACCUUAAGCAAAAUCGCAAGAAAAACAGUCACCCUAGCAUGGCAUUGUUGUUCUAAUUAUCGAGUUUCAGGGAGUAGUGCAUUCAAUGAGAGUAUGAAUUCUUAAUGAACUGGAUAUCUAAUAUUGAGGUCCGAGAACAAGGGCACUAAAUACCAUUGACGGUAUGCAACAUUGACAAGAUGUUCCGUUGACAACAAUCCAACCAUUUCCAACAUUUGACAGUAUGCAAUACAAAAAUGACAUUCGGUUUAACUACAAGGUACUAAACCACCAGUAUGAAUUUCUACAGCAUACUAAAGAUCAAAUAUUUGAACAGCUAAAGUGAAACAAGGAACGGCUCCAAUUCUUCAUUUGUUUCAAAGAAUCUGUGUUUGACACAUUCAAACAUGGUAUGAGAAUUCAUCCUCUAAAUAUAAGAAAAAAUUUAGCAUAGCCGUGUUAGUAUCUGAUACCAACCGCUUGAGUCUAACAUGGGUAAAGACUUACUCUUUUAUUGUAGUUCAACACAAAGAAAAAAGUUUGGUGCAAUAAUAAAAAGAUUACAUAUAUAUAAAUAUAUCUAGUAAUGAUAAGCAAGAAAACAUGACUUAAAUCUGAGAACAGUAGCAUCACCAAGAAGAAUUAAAAGGGAAAUGACCAUAUCUAGAUCACUACUCGUGUUGAGGAUCAUAGUUAUUAAAUAGCAUUUUAUAAUGAUUUAUUUGACAAGGAAAUGCUAGGUCUUUAGACCCAUUUCUUUUCUCAUAUAGCCUAUGACAACAGCAGCAUAGAAUGACCAACAUAUUAGAGCUAGUUAUUAAGAGCAAAAAGAGAAAAAAAGAGAGAGGUUAAAACAUGUCAAGCAUAGGAGCAGUUAAAUCCAUGUGCCUUAGCUUAUAUCCAAGGGUUUAUUUUCUAUUUACUCUAUAUGAAUUAUUGAUUAAGCACAUUUGUCUAUAAUUUCAUAAUAAAAGGUAAAAUAAAAAUAAGAAAAAUAUAAACCUACAAUGUGGUACAAUUCUCUCUCCUUUAGCUGAUUGAAAGUCCACGUGCAUCACCCAUCUUUUCCAUUCCUCCCUAUAAAUCUCAAUCCCAUUUCCUUCUCAUUAACUGAAUUUAAAGAACUCAACUAACAAAUUCACCUAAUUUAUGCUUGUUUAGGUAAAUUUAACACAAAAGAUAUAAAGCAACUACAAAGAAAAGCAAAUGUUUUUCUUUUGUCCUAACAAUGGCAUUCAUUAUAAAGCAAUUAUCAAAAAAUGGAAAAAAAUUGAAGUUAUUCAAGGUUCAAGAGAUGUGAAUAACAAACUUCCUUUUCCUUUUCAUGUACCCUAGAAAUAGUAAGACUCACAAAGAGACUACUAGCGAUCCUGACAAGUACGGCAGAAGGUACCGUGAGACAGCUCGCAACAAGCCCGCACGUUAACAGUCAGGUGUGAAGUGAGACAAGCCGUAGGAACCAUGCUAUGCAGAGGCAAGAACGAUUGGACACAUCCCAAUUCUCCCAAAUUUCUGAAACAAACAUAAGGCUAGCCAAAAUCAAUUUUGACAUCCAAGCUUCCUUUUGUCAAUGGGAAAAUGUCAGCAAACUAUGAAACUCUUUUUCAUACAAAAUAGUCUCUUGUAUGAUUCUCACUAAUCCAUACCGCCUUAGAAAUUUAAGAACCUAUUUAAUCUUGGGAAAUUUUAAGGCAAAAGGCAAGAAUAUUUUAGCUUCCCUUACUUGAAAACAGAGAAAAUAGUAACUCUACUUUAAUCUAGUUUUCAGAUUUAAAAAAGAAAAUCCAAUUGUUAACAUCAUUAAAAUGAUUCCAUUAAGUUUAGGUUGCAAAGUUUUUUUUUUUGGUUAUAUGAAUACCAAGCAAGUUUUUUUUUUUAAUUUCAAAAUGUCACACAAUGGAAUUUAACAGAAACAUUUUAAUUGUUUUGACAAUUGGACUUCAAUUUUGAAAUCUGAAAAGUAGAGAUACUAAAUUCCAAAUGUACAAAAGGUACAGGGACUUGGAGCAUAACCUAAUUGAAUAUAACAAGACUAAAGUCAUCAGUAAAAUUACUUUGCUAAAUCCCAAAUAAUGAAGAUUGUAAAUAAUUUCAAAAACACAUCAUGAAUUGGAUAUCGCAGUCUAUAAAUCUCCACUAACAGACAUUUCUAAUAAUUUAUAGUAAAAAAAAGAAGAAAAGUAAACAAUGUUGACUGGAAAAUAAGCAAUUUCGCGUUUCUUAUCUUUUGUUUCAUCCACUAAGGAGUCAAAAGAGGUGUUUAAAACAAUGACCUGGAAGGAGCAUAAGAGAGGCGGCGGGACUGGAGGCGAGGAGCAGAGGAAACCGAGGGACGUAGCCGGGGUAGCGGUGGAGGGGAGCGGAGUGAAGGAGCCCUCGCGGCAGAGAUGACAGAGCGAGACAAGGAUCCUGCACUUCGCCAAGCCAUUUUCACAGUGAAGAUCGAAGCGUUUCACUAAGAGAGAAGCUGAAUAAAGUAGUGAUUUGCGUAAAGGUUUUGGUUAGGGUUUAAGGGGUGUGCCUGUAUCCAUGAUUCGGGUCGGAUCCUUUUCGGAUGGGUCUAUGAUGUAGUCUUUUAAGCCCGGCCCAUUCAGAAAUAUGUGUUAUAGAGUUUAACUAAACUUAUUUUAAAAUAUGCUAUUUUUUAAUAUUUGGUAAUUUUAUUUACUAAAAUUUUAAAAUACAUUAAAAUUUUCAAAAUUUACAGUAUAGUAUUAUAUUUUUAAUUUUCAUGUAAUAUAAAUUAUAUAAUAUAUAAAAUAAAAAAUAUUAUUAUAAACCAAAGACAAACCUAUUAUCUAAUGGGUUUAAUUCUUUUUCUAUACACUUUCUGCUUUUUUUUUUAUAUAAAUCGAAUCCACGGUCUCAUGUACUGAUAAUAAUAUCAAUACCAAUCGAGCUAACACUCAAUCGAUUUUUUUAUACUAUUUUUUAGUAUAUUAAAAUUUUCUAAAUCUUGUCAAAUAUUAAAUUAAUUAACAAAUAUAUUAAAUUAAUAAAGGAGCUUAGAUGCAUAAUGUGACUCUUAAACAAAAUUAUUGAAAAAUUAAAGAGAAUCUUGUGAACAACCCAAGGCUUAAAUUACUUAGGCCCAAAUCUACUAGCAUAUGUUAGCCAUUGUAGGAAUCUCCCAGCCAUAGUGUGCUAAACAUUAGUUCUUUGUAUAUGAGGACAUGGGUUCCAAUAUUUGGCGGAGAAAGUGUAGCCAUGGAUGGAUUUGCAUUUUGCAUAUUAAUAAUCUAUUGAGAAAAGUCAUAAAAAUACAACUCAUUAGCUAUUUCAUUCGUUACAUCUACGAUAACAAUAAAUAAUAAUAUAAAAGAAAAAUUCAAAUUUAAAUCUUAAAAAUCAAAGUUUAAAGGUUAAAUUUUAGUAAUCAUACAUAAAAAUAUGAUAUGAUGCAAUUGUGCAAGCUAAGGAAGACCUCUACUAUAAAUUAGUUCUUUAUUACAUCAAAUUGUAAAUAAAGAAAGGGAUUUGGAUGGACGGUUGCAUUUAGUUUAUUUUUUGUUUUGUAAUACAGUAUUGUUACAAUAUCUAAUCUUAUUAGGGUAAACUACAAAAAUAGUCAUCACUUUUGUUUGUCUCAGAUUACAUUUUAGUCACUUAUGUUUGAAAUGUUACGUUUUAGUCACUUACGUUAUCACUUUGUUACGAAGUAAUCACUCUACCGUUAAACUUCAUUACCUCCCUAACGUUAGUCUUAUGUGGCAAUCUAAAUGGGUUUUAAAUGUCAACUUGGAUGUCCAUUUGCUAGGAUGAAAAUAAGUUUUUAAUUAAAUAAAUUUAAUUUGGACUGUCAUGUAGAACAUUCAAGUUGGCAUUUAAAACCCAUUUAGACUACCACAUAGAACUGUUGUUAGGGAGGUAAAAAGCUUAACGGUAGAGUGACCGCUUCGUAAUAAAAUGAUAACGUAAGUGACUAAAACGUAACAUUUCAAACAUAAGUGACUAAAAUGUAAUAUGAGGUAAACAAAAGUGACUAUUUUUAUAAUUUACUCAUCUUAUUAUUACCGCUAUUUUUACAUUAAUAAAAAAUGAACCGAAACGUUGACUAUAAUUUUUACAAGCUUUUAAGAUCUCUAUUUUAUUUUUCGGGCGGGAUUAAUGGCAAAUCAACUUCAUCACACCAUUCAACACACCUUGUUUCCACAUAAGAACUCCUCACAUUAUUAGGCCAAUAACUCAACCAAACUUCACCUCCAAUUCUCCAUUUCAAAACACUCCCUUCCAUGUCCCUGUUCAAUCUCCAUCCUACACCUUCUCCAUAAUCAUCUCCUGCAAAUACCAAUCCACCAGCUUUGGUAAAUGGCCUGUUAGCUCCAUAGUACCUAUGCUGGAAACCAUGGCUGCUGCCGUUGCUAUUUUGAUAGAGCGAUUUCCACGUUGCGAUUUCUUGGCCCGUCACGUUGUCGCAUAGCACCGCGUCGAACACCGCGGCGUUCCCUUCCGCGUCUUGAUCCCACCUCCAGUUCUUCAUCUUGUUCUUCAUGGAAACCCUUGCUCUUGCUUUAACAUGGGAGGAAUCCUUUGAAUAUUUCCCGAAACUCCCUUUAAGGAUCCUUUGUGUUUCGACUUCGUUUUCACCAUUGUUCGUGGACCGACCCAAGGUUAACCCGGACACGUACGUUGACCCGACUUCCGGUCCGACCCAAACUCGGAUCCUCGACGGGAAGUGUUUCUCGUUCAAGAAAUCAUCCAUGUCGUCGUUUUUUUUGCUGAACCCUAGUCUAGCCACGUGGAAGCGUAAGUUAUCCACACGUGCGUUCACUUGAAUGUACCCAUCAUGGAAUCCAAUGGUGUAUUCCAAUUGAAUGACGGCCUCGAGCUGCUGGUGUGCUAGUGCGUACCUUAACAGUGAACCCUUUGCUCCGGUGGCCGGAAAUUGGCUUUUCUGAUCACUUGAAUGUAAUAGCUUCAUUGCAUUAACCGGUGCAUACCCUUUCAAGGUCCAAUAUCCAUGAGCCUCGGUUGCAUAUGAAAAUCCCAAAUGCUGCUGCUGCCCUUUUAAAGGAGUUAUUAGCGUUUUUAAUCCGACGCUGAGUUCACUUAAAAUGAUCCAUUUGGUCAACAUGUACCCCAAGGUUCGCAUGAAACACAGCUCGGUGUCGACACCAGUGGAGACCAGAAAGGUCCUCAGCACGGGGACUUGUUUAAACGUUAAGGCUUCGAUGUUUGGACCUAGUAAGUACUGGAAAUAGAAAGACCCGAUUUCACUAGGAGCAUCCCAAGAACAUAGCCAAAACAAGCGUGUGAGAAGGACAAGGUUAAAGAAACUCGAGAAUGACUCGGGUGAGUGAGACUCAAUGAUCCAAGAAAUCGGUUCGGGUUUGAGUUUUUGAAGCUGAGACCUCGGGCAAAUGGUGUUGGGCAUUGCUGGUGAACGGCUGAUGGUUUCUUGGAGAAGCUGAAGUACUAAAGCGAGGAAAGGUUGCUCUGAAGAUAGAGGACAGGGGUCAGAGACCCAAAGAGGUGAAGAUUGGAACCCUUCAAAGCUUAUUGUGAAGGUUAUACAGACCUCUGAAUCGGACCCCAUGGUACGCUCAGCUUUGAGUUGGAUCGAACGAGUUGAGCUUGAGUCGCCUUCCUCGGAACUCGCCAUUGUAAAGGCGAGUGGUGGGUGUGGGUCUGAUUCACCCCAAUCGUCAUUGUUAGGAAGCUCACAUAUCCAAGACCAAAUGUCCAUCAUGUUUGCUUGGUGGGUUUCAGCCUUUGAGGGGAUAUCAAAAGAUUGGAGACCUAUUGUUUCGUUUUAUAGAGAAAGAUUCACGAUGUUGUUAGGAAUCGGGUAAAUUGCACUUGAAGUCCCUUAUGGUCUAGAUUUUAAAUUGUUUGCUAAAUUUCAAAUGUUUUAAUUGAGUCCCCAAAAUAUUAGAUCAUAUCAAUCAAAUUCUUCCAUAAGUCUAUUGUCAUAUUAGAUGUUAAAUUCUAAAUACAUAUAGACUUGCUGCAUAAAUAGUUUGGAUAUAACGUUUAGAAAAGAAAAAAAAAGUGUAUUUAAAAUUUGGGAGGGUUAUUUUUCUUUAACAUGGUAGAUCAUGCGGCUAAGUAUUAUAUUUAAAGUUUAAUUUAUGUGUUUUAAAUAUACUUCACGUGUGGAGAAAUCAAGAAUUAUGUGAUGAGAACCGAGAUAAAAUAAAAAAACUUUGGGGCAUAACUAAAGUAAUUUGUAUUGAAAUGACUUAAAUUGAAUUUUAAACUUUUGAUAAGAGUAAAAAAUGCAAAUUAUUUUUAUUUAAUAAAGAUGCUAAAAGAGAUUAACAAUUGGAAGAACUAAGGUUGCAAAUGCACCAUUCAGCCUAAGGCCCUUGCCUCCACCUUAGAGUAACAUCUAGGCUGACAAGAAGACCUUAUUGCACCUUAAAAUUUUAAGGAAAGAAUGAGUGAUGGUAGAUUCGCCAACUUGCAAGUAAACGUAAGCCAUGAAAAUCACCAAUGAAAGAACUGCCUGGAAUUAAACUGGUGGUGCUAAGUUGUUUGGUCGUUAUGUCUUAUUUAAUACUAGUAUACUAGAGCGCUGAUUUUUCAUUCACUCCCUUUCAUUUAUUUCAAUUUCUGGCUUUUGGCGGCCUGAUAAGGAAAGCAAUGGUGAUUUUGCAUGGACAAUACGUUGCAGAUCCCGACGCCGUCGUUUAACGUUUUAUGGAUGUAUCGACCUAGACGUGUCAUGUUCAGAGGCGGAACUGGACAAGUUUACAUGUCUGAACUUGAAUCACACAAAAAAGAAAAAAAAAAUCUGGGGUCGUUUAAUGUCUGUUCUUUCUUAUCCUAUCAAUGCUCGUGAAUAUCUUUGAGAAUCAUAGGUUAACAACAAGUGAUUGAAACCCCAGCAACGAAAUGAAAACAUAACCAAUACAUACAAACACGUAAUAAGGCCAUGUAGGCCACCCUGGCCAUGCAUUUAGUUUGUUUUGUAUCCCCAUGGUCUUCUUCUCUAGUGAGAGCAAUGUCUGAGUGGUCCUUUAACCUGGAUGACCCCCACAAGCUGUCACCAUUUUUUCAAUGAGUAAAUUUAUGUAGGGGAUCCCUCUAGGCUUUACCAUAAAGGAUGUUUUUCCUUAUAAGUAAUAUUUCUUUCCCAACAUUUCUCCAAUAAGCAAAUUUGUUGGGUUGGAUAAAGCUUCCAUUCUCGCUUGCCUAGUAGAGGUUGGUUUACCCCACUCUUUCUUUUAAAACAUAGACCACCUCUGGUUUUACGGACACAUAGUUUGUCCCAACUCUUGAGUUGAAGUAUCCAUUUUAUCAUAGAUAGUGUUAGAAACGAGAUAGGUGAUAAAUUAAGAUUUUUAUUAUCUCGAGAUUGAAUUAUAAAUUUUUUGAGAAUGGGUAAGGAUUUAUUUACCCUAAUUAAAUUUCAUGUCUUAAAAAAAAAAAACUCAAUCAGCCCAACUCAGAUUGUCCAGUCCAAAUAAAAAAAAUGAAUUAAAAAAAAGAGAUAAAGAUCAAAAUUAUACAUGAACUUUGAUUCAAUUUGUAAUAUCAUAUAUGAACUUUGAUUUGUGUGAUUUUAUAUAUGAAAUUUUGGUUUCAUAUCACUGACAACAUUAUCAAAUUAGUACUAUUUUAUGCUGAUAUAUUGCAUACACAAACAAUUAUAUUAAUCCAAUAUGAAAAUAAAAGUAUGCAUUCAUUUCUUUAAAUGUGCACAGUUGAAUCAAAAUCAAAUUUUUAUUUAUACAUAUAAACAAAAAUUCAACAAUUGAAAGAGAUCUCUUUGAGUAAUUGAAAUUGAAAAAAAAAUGGAGGUUAAUGUGGAUUCUCUCAGGAGCUUUGGACGGUCGGGGUUGCCGUUGCCGGUGGACCUUGAAAAAGCCACUAAUAGGGUAAAAAAUAGAGAGGAUAUAGUAGAGGUAAAGAAGAUGGAACAAGAGAUUUGAAAGCUACUGUCAAAGAGAAGCUCACGAGCAACUCAAAGGAAUCUGAUGCAGCGGAAAAUGGUGAAGAGAAUGGUGAGAUCUCUCUUCUUGAAGAUGAUGUUCAGGUUUCAAUGAAGGGCCAAUAUCUUGAGAUCAAUUUCUCUAAACGGGUUUAUGAGUUGACUAAACGGAGUAUGAGUCUGACUAUUAUUGUAACAUCCCUCACUCGUCUCUGUCAUCGGAUUAGGGUUAUGCGAUGCUACAAUGCAUAACAAAAUAGAAUUAUGCUAUAUCAAUUCAAAUUUUCUCUAAACAAUAAUCAUUCAUCAAUCAUAUAAUUAAAAACAUGUCAUUCAUACAUUAUCGGGGUUAAAUCGAGCUUAAGAAAGCUCUAAAAUAAUUUUAGAACAAAACAAGGAUUAAUUUGAAACAUUUUAAAAAAGUGUGACAAAAAUACAAAAUAGGAGUCACACAGCCGUGUGACAGGUUGAGGCCGUAUGGAGUUGAACCACACAGUUGUGUCCCCAAACCGUGUAAUAGACUGAGGCCGUGUAAUCUAGAGUCACUUUUUGAGAGGAUUGACAAGAGGAAGUUGAAUAUGUUAAAUUAUAUUAGGGGAAUUGAAAGGUGUCUUUAGGAGAAUUCCUCUCCUUUCCUCUUGGAUCUUGCUAACAAAUUGAAAGGUGAGCUUGACGAGGUUCUUGCUCAAAAGGAGAGCCUCUGGUAUCAAAAGUCUAGAAUUAAGUGGAUUGUAGAGGGUAACAGGAACACAAAGUUUUUUUCAUAUUAGUACCUUUAACAAAGGAGAGUGAACUUUAUUAAAGCCCUUAAAGUUGAUAAUGGUAUUUGGUGUGAUGAUCAGAGAUACUAGCAAGAGAAAGUGGUUCAGUUUAAAGUUUGUUUGCGAAAGACCCUCAGAUGCAUGAGUGGAUUUCCGUUAACUGGGUACUUUUAUAGGUUUAAUGAUGGUGAACUUAUGGAUCUUUGCAGGCCGGUUUUGGAUAAAGAUGUGAGGAAUGCGGUGUUUGAAGUGAUGCCUUCUAAACUUCCCUUUACCUAAUUGAGAAUAUGCGAUAAGAGUUAUAUGGUUUGAAGGCACAAAACCUCUCUCUUGCGGGUAGAAUUACAAUGGCCAAAGCUGUUUUAGCGAUUAUACCAAUUUAUGUGAUGCAGUCGAUGGUGGUUCAAAAAGGUAUUUGUUUGGGAAUGGAAAGUAAAAUGAUUCGGAAUUUUAUAUAGAAGAGAAAAAUUAGUCUUGUCAAUUGGAAAGAGAUAUGUCUACCCAUUGAGUAGGAGAUUUGGGGGUUUAAAAAGAAGUUUCAAAAUGGUGCUUUUCUUAAGAAGUUGAGGUAUAAUUUAAUGAGAAAGGAUUAUAUGAAACCGUGAUUCCAUAUCAUCUCUAUCCCUUUCCAAUAGAAGACUGAUAAAUUAGAUUUUUUCUCUUGAUUUUUAGCAGUUUUAGUUGGAUUUAAAUUUUUUCAUGAGAAAAAAGUUGAAAAUCAGAAGGAAAAAUAUGAUUUGUCAUUCUCCUAUUGGAAAGGAAUAAUGAUGAUGUGGAAUCACAGUUUCAUACAAUCCCUUCCCAUAAUUUAAUAAAUCAGUCGGAUCAAUUGUGGGUUCAAGUGAUGCGCACAAAAUCUAUGUACGAAGUCAUGGCCUCCACUUUGGAGAGGGAUUGCAAAUGUUUGAGACGUGACCCCUUAAUCAAUCAAAGUUAGAAGCCAGACCAGAUUCUUGUUCAAAUAGUUAAAGUCAAUUGGGUCACGUAGUCUACUUAGUCCAUAAACACUUCUACUUCUCACUAAUCACCAUGUCGUGCCUACUUUGGUUUCGCGUUUCUGUAAAAUAUAUACAUGAAUCGUUUCCGGAUUAUAACUAGAACCUCCUUUUCUCUGGACCCAUCUCACAUCGAUGACUCAACCCCUCCUACCUAUAGGUAAUUUUAGACAAGUUUCCUUUGAAGUGGAUACUUGAAUCCCAAGUAUGAUCCGUAAUAAUCUAUCUUCUGGAGUAUACGAUGAUUCUUUCGCCACCUAAGGCGUUAAUUUAUCUACUAAAAUAUCGCCCAUCUCCACCCAAGAUCCCAGCAUCACAAUUUUAUUUUUGUCUAAAUUGCAGAGUAAAUGGGCUUCUAGGUGCGGUAUUUCAUUAGUGAUUCUUUCAGGACCUUAACUUAUCAUAUGAGUCUGAAUUUCAUAUUUUUCGUAUGUGAAAAGAAGUAUAAAUAUCUUCAUAUACUAAAUGCUAGCUCCUGUAAAAAUUUGAAGCUACAAUUAAAUGUUGCAAUUCUUUUCUAAGUUUAGCCAUAUAUUAUUAUCUAAUACAACUUUAAUCACCAUUUACAAAUAUGAUCACUUUGCUAAUUUAUGGAUGAGUCCUACACAUUUAAAUGAUGAUAAUUAGUGUAUUGAAAUAAAAAAAAGAAAAGAAAAACGAUUUUCACACCCAUCCACUUUAGACCGAGAAAGAAUUCCCCUUGAAAAAAAGGGUUCACAUAUAUAGCUUUACAUUUGGAUGAUCUCGUUUACAUUUGUGAGAGAUUUUGGACUAAAUCUGAAUGGGAUGUUUCGAACGAGGAUUAGGUGACAAAUUCGACCUUUUACGUCCCUCACCAUAAAGUUCCAACACUUGAAUUUGUCAAAAAAGUGAUUAUUCUCUCCUACAUGUUUAAACCCCAUUUUUUAAUAUUUUAUUUGUUGAUUUUAGAUGUUUGAAUGUUUUUGAGUAAGGAAGUGGAGGCGAAAUGAGCAAAGUCCAUCACGAUAAAGCCGAAAGAGUUGAUUUAAAGGACCAAAUUAUUAAUCUUCAAAAAGAAAAAAGCAAUUCAACACUAAAAUAAUAAAAUUACUACUUCCAACUACUCACAACUUCCUCUCCCCAACUCAAAAAUAGAAGAAUAAUGCACUUCAAUAUACUUAAACCCAUGUCACUCUGCAGUAAUAAUAAUAUUUAUACCAAUAGAACUAAGACUCAAUCAACACUCACCUAACAAAUUAAUACAACUCAACUUGAAUAUGAUUUAACUCCAACUUAAAUCGAGGUCAAACUUAGUAGUGACUAAAGUCUAUGAGUUAAUAUUCGCUCACCAACAUUUUAAUUUUAAUUCCUUUCUUUCCAACAUAUUGACUUAUUCAUAUAUUUCAUAUCACUAAGUCAAAACCGUGGUUUUUACGUUUUCAAAAACCCACCAUUUUCAACUCCCUCAAAAUUUAUUACUCUUUUCAACUUUACAAUUUUACAAAAGUCAAAUAUGCGAUUGGGUACCAAAAUCCCCCCACACCACCUUUAUAUAUAUAUAUAUAUUUGUGUGUAACUCUAUUGUAACCCAUAUAUCUCAAAUUUUGAACCAAAUUGAAAGAGAAGAAAAAUGGGUUCUAGCAAUAUGAUCCAAGUUAUUAAUCUCCUUUUCAUCUUCAUAUUUUUUCUAUUGCUCUCAAAUUCUUUGCAUGUUGAGGGAUCAAGGUUCUUACAAGAUCAAGGGGUUUCAUCUUCUUCUUUUUCUUCAAUUUCCUAUAUAAAGCGUUUUAGUAUAAGCAUAGCUUACUCCGGUCCUAGCCGUCGUGGAGCCGGUCAUUGACGGAAGCCGAUGUGUUUCGUGUUAAACAUUAUUUUCCCAUCGCCAAGGUCACUGGGUCACAAGGUUCAGUCAGGUAGCUAGCUUUUAAUAUUUGAUGAAGGAGAUCGUACGAGGUAACCCUAGCAGCCAUGUUCAUGCAUGCGCUAAGGACUCAGCACCUUCAUGAUGGUGUGUGUGUGUGUGUUUGUUCUGUCCUAAGAAAGGGCAAGUCAUAGAGUUGAUUUUUUUUUUUAAGUUUUCUUUUUAAAUUUCUUUUAGCAUUUUUGCUAUGCUUGCUACAAGAUAUAAAUAUGUAAUAUAUUUAAUGUUUAUGUAAUGUAAAUGAUUUUUUUUUCAGACAAAUGAAUGUAGUGUUUGAACUUCUAUUCCUCUCUUACUUAAUUUUGGAUUGCCCAUAUUAUGAUCGCUUAUAUAAAUACAAAUUACAAUUUUUGUGGUACUUCUUGCUGCCUAAGAUUGAUUGAAGAUUAUCAUUAUUGAAGGUCCAAUAUUUUAUCAAUGAAUUAUUUAUACUGUGGAUGAUUAUAUAUAUAUAUAUCUUUAAUUAAUAUCAUUCUCUAUCCUUAUAGUUUUUCUUUGUACUCUUUAGCCUGGUUGACAUUGUUGCAAUUGUAGCAAUCAGAGGAGCGUAUAAGUUCAAGCGUAUUUAAGUGUACAUUUCCUUCCAUUUAAAUGUUGGGAAGGAAUUAUAAGUAAAAAAAAGACAUUACAUAAAAAAAAGGCAUUACAUAAAAAAAUCGUUUUGCACUCUUUUUUAUUUAUUUAUUUAAUAAAUCAUUUAUUCAAAUUUAAACAUGAAAGAAUAUAUACACGUACAUAUUAAAAUAAAAAAAAUUUAAAAAAAGUAUAAAGAUAGAUAAUAUGUUAUUAACAUACAUUUCUCUGCCCAUCUUUGUAACUACAAAAGAGAAUGUGGAUUCCAGCACAAUUAAAUACAUAUAUAUAUAUAUAUUAUUCUUCUAGGUUUUUUCUAUUCGCCUCAAACUCUUUGAAUGUUGAGGCUGAAGGUUCUUAAAAGAUCAUCAAAGGGCUUCUUCUUCUUCUCUUUCGAAUUCAGAUAUAAAGGGCUUUAGUAUAAACAUAGCUACUCCGAUAACUAGCUGCUGCAGAGCCGACCAUUGGCGGAAGCUGACAUCUUUCGUGUUAAAUACUAUUUUCCCAUCACAGGUCAUUGGGUCACAAGGUUCAAUGAAGUAGCUAAGUUUUUAGUAUUGAUGAAGGGGAUCAUAUUAGGUAACCCUAGCAGCCAUAUGUUCAUGCAUGCCCUAAGGACUAAGCACCUUCAUAAUGGUGUAUUUUUUUUUAUCCUAAGAGGGCAAGUCAUAGAGUUGAAAAAAAAUUGUUAAUUUUUUUCCAUGCUUGCAACACGAUAUAUAUAUAGAUAAAAUUAUCAUGAAAAUCCCUAUAUUAAGAAUUGAAUUGCAUUUUACUCCUCUAUUAAAAAUAGGCAAAUUAAUCCAUAUACCUUAAAUGAAAGAACAAAUCAGUCUUUUUUUUUUUUUUUUAUCUGAAUUUCAUCCCUCUAGAAAUUGAGAAAUCAGUCCAUGCUUGCUUGCUACAAGAUAUAUGUUACGUAAUGUAAAUGGAUUUUUUUUAUCGAAUGUAGUGUUUGAAUUUCUAAUCCUCUCUUAAUUUUGGAUUUGCCCAUAUUAAUAUAUUAUGAUGGUUUGCACAAAUAUUAAGAUAUUCAAUGUUUCUCAAUCUUGCACACAUAUAUAAAUACAAAUUAUAUCAAGCACAUGUCACGCAUGUGUAGAUAAUCAAUACUAUUUUUUGAAAUCGUAAACGUAUGCAAUCAUUUUUUUAUCAUCUUGUGUUGUCAAGGGUACCUUUUUAUAAUAUAAGUUCAUAAAAGUUAGUACCAGUAUGUUACUUAAAUAUUUAAUGAUAGUUAAUGUAACACUGUUAUACAUAAAUAUUUUUAUUUUUUAUAUAUAAGGUAUAAUAAUAAAUUUAGUCUUCAAUCUUUACAUAUUUAUUUAAUUUGACUCUUACUUUAUUAGAAAAUUUUGAAAUUAAUAUAGUUAAAGGGUCAAAAAGACCUUAAUAACAAAUCUAAAAAAAAAAUCAAUUAAGCCAUUUUAAAAUUUAAAAAUCAUUUGAAAUAUCAUGAAAAUUAUUAAAAAAAUUUAUAAAAAAAAUUUAAAAUUAUAAUUUUUUUAUUAAAACAUAAUAAUAAUGACCUAACAAAUUUUUUUUUUCAAAAUCACCAUUAGAUUUUAAUGGAUAAAUAUUGUUUUCUUUUUAAUAAGAAUUUUAAAAAUUUAAAAUUAUUAUAAGUUUCUUUUAUAAAUUUUGUUAAUAAUUUUAUGAUUUUUUUAAUAAUUUUAAAUUUUUAAAAGGGAUUAAUUGAUUUUUUUAAUUUGUUACCAAGGCCUUUUUGACUCUUUAGCCUUUUAAGUUAAAAAAAAAAUUCUAAUUUACUUCCAAUAAAAGAGUAGGGGUCAAAUUAAAUAAAUGUAUAAAGGUUGAAGGCUAAAUUUGUUAUUAUACCUUAUAUAUACAUCAAAUUUUAAUGGAGGGUUGUUUUGCUCACUCAUCUAACAUAAACCUUAUCAUGAGUCGGGUCCCCCGAAAAGUGGGAGGGUGUGGGCAAAAAUAUAGACCCAAAAAAUGGAAUUGGGCAAAAAAGGCUCGUUUAGAAAAUGAGCUGCGCCUCAGGUAAGCUUUUUUCACUGUUUUGCUGUCAUUUCACUAUUAUAUUGCUACUAUUUUGUUGUUAUUAUUUGGAUAUUGUAUAACUCUUGUUUAUUGUUAAUUUUGCUACUAUUUUAGAGGCAUUUGCUUGUUAUUUAAGCAUAAAAACUUUUUUAAUGUAUUUUUAAUUUGUUGGGAAACAUUUAUUUUAAUGUUUUUAGUGUAUUUGAUGUAUUAUAUUUUUAAAUUUAUUUUUAUAUAAAAAAUUUAAUAUGGGCAAAUCGAGCUCGGGUUUUAGCUUCUUUUUAUCUGGGCUAGGACAAAAAUUUAGGCUCAUUUUUCUGGUUGAGCCCGAGCCUAUCAAAUGAGCCUGGAUUUUUGUUAUGGCCCAGCCCGAUUCAGCCCAUGAUCACCUCUAAUCUAACGUAGGUGGGCUAAUUUGUCCUUUUUUUUUCAAUAGAGGGGCUAAAAUGUAAUCUAAGGUAUAGUAUAGGGGGUUUUGUGGUACUUUUACCCUCAAUUGGCAUCGUUGUUGUUGUAACUACCAGGAAGAUGUGGGUUCAAGUCUGAUUAAACAUAUAUUAUCCCUUUUUAUGAAAGCAUGCAAGUAUUAUUUUUUUAUUUAAGGGUUGGGGUUUCUGAGCAGUAGUAGGAAUUGUAUUUAAAAAAGGGUUAAAUAAUUUUUUGGGGCUUGAACUUGGUAAUAUUUCUCUCACAUUGAAGCUUUAACUUUUUUUUAUUCAAGUUAGGCCUUGAACGGAAAUUGUUUCCACAUUGGGGCUUGUACUUUUUUUUUCCAACUUAGUGCUUGAAAACCUUAGAGUUCAGACCUAAUGUGGGAACAAUUGCCAAGUCUAAGGGCUAAUUUGGACAAAAAAGGUUUAAGCCCUAAUAUGGAAAUAGUUGCCUAGUUGGCCAAUGUGGGAACAAUUGUUAAGUUUAGGGCUUAACUUGGAUAAAAAAAAGUUUAAACCCCAAUGUGGAAAAAUUUAUCAAGUUUAGACCCAAAUAAUGAUUUAACUCUUAGCAAACUUACAUAUCUCUUAUUUUGAUCUAAUUAUGAGUUUCAUCCCCUACUUUAUAAAGCUUGAGAAGUUAGCCCAUCCAUUUUAAUUUUUCAAAAUUUAAUCUUUGUACUUAAUGACACGAACAAGUUAGUCUAAUAGGGUAAUUUUGUUAAAUUUUACUUUUAAAUCAUUGAUUUGGAAAUCAUCAAUUGAAUAACUUAAAUACAAGAAAUUAGUAAAAAUAAAGUAGUCUAGCAAUUUAUAUGCAACAAAUUAGCAAAAAUAACCCUUCAAAUUCACGUGUUUGUUAAUAACUUGACUACCGUCACAAUUUUGAUGAAAUAUGAGUAUCAAAUUCUAAAAAUUAAAAUAUAUAAAUUAACUUCUCAAUUUUGUACUUUGAAAAAUUUUACAAUUGGACUCAUUUAGUUUCUCUCUCUCUCUUUUUUUCAUUCCAAUUUGGAUAAUUAUUUUAUCAUUAAGCAUUAUAAAACGAUCAUCUUUAUUAUUUUCUCUUCUAUUUUUUUUGGUGAAUUACAAGACGAGGGCAAAGCCCUAACAGCAUCGCGACUAAUACGACUCGAACCCAAGCUACACUUGAGGCGGUGAACACUCUAAUCAUCAAACCAAUGCACGUAAUACACCCAUUUUCCACACUUUUGGCUCAUCUAUUUCCAUCUUUUCAUUUUACCAAAAAUACCUUUUUAAGUUUAAACUCUACAUUCAAAGUCAUAACUUUGACUUUUGAACUAUUUGUGUAGUUUAAUAAUUUUUCUCUUCUUUAAAAGAAAGGACCCAUUUGAUAAAACUUCUACUUUCUAUCUUUUAUACAAAAAUGGAAUGGAAAUUAUAAUAAUAAAAAGCUUAUGAAAUGGAACGUGAUCUCUUUUUUGCUUUUGUGAAAUUAAAUACCUUAAUUAUAUACACCCAAUAAGAAGUAAGAACACCACUAUUUCUAUAUUUCUAAUAGUUGCUGCCUGGAAUGGUUUUCUUUGAAUUUCAACACUUCUUUUAUAUAAUAAUUAGUAUAGUUCCUACCCACGUUCCCUGUUAAGGUAAUUAUUUUUCGAUUUAAGGGUAUACAAGGUUCUUAAACUUUAAAAAAAAAAAUCAAGUCAUUUUUUUUCUGCACUAAAUUGGAUACUUAAAAUUUUAAAAUGUAUUAAAAAAGUCAUUUAACCGUUAUCUUUAACAGUCGACCGUUAAAGUUAACUGUCUCUAAUUUUGAUAUUUGUCAGGUGUCAUGUAAGGGUGGCCCUAAUUUUGAUAUUUAAGGGCUUUAAUAAUUAGUAUCACAGGUCAAUAAGAUAGGGGCGAUUUUAGAGGGGCUUGGCUUCCCUCAAAUGGAAUAAUUACAUUGUAAUCCCCCUAACAAAUGAUAAAAUUAAAAGAUAUUUUUUGUAAAAUUAUACUUUGAUCCGCCAAAAUAAAAAGAUUAUUAUUUAGUCCUUUUUGAAGUGAUGAAAUCAUAAGUUAUCACAAAAAAAAAUGAUUUAAUUUCGACUCUCUAACUUUUUUGAUCAAUUUAGUUUAAAAUGAUUUAUUUUUUUUAUAAAUAAUAAAUAUUACAACGAGGGUUUUUUAUUUUUAUAUAAAAUUUAUAAAAUAUUAAUUUAAACAUGAAAUAAAUUUAAAAUAAUACUUACAGGGAUUUAAAUAUAAGACACAUUGGUACCUAAAAGCUCAUUCUUACCCUUUCAAGCUUCAUUUAAAUAUACAUUUCUUGAAACAUUCUUUCUUGUUGCCUUUUUCUUUGAAAAGAAUAAUAACAUGCAUUAGAAUAUUUGGGAUGAUUAAUGCUUCCACACCAACACCCAACAACUUUUCCCUUUUUUAAUAUAUAUAUAUAUAUAAGAUGAUCAAAAUAUUCCCUGUCCUAAAUGUGGCUUGUAUUUGAAUCACGUUUAUCACGUUUAUUAUUCGGAUUUUGAUAAUGCAUUUUUAAAAAAUUAAUUUCUAUCAUCAAUUAGCUCAAAUGUUGGAGAGGAUAAGAAAAAAACACAAUUUUUAUAUUCAAGUUAUAAUUUAUAGUUUGUAAAUAUAUAUAUAAUUUAAUUUUUUAUUGAAUUAGUGUUACGGGUUAAUCGGACAUUAAUUAAAUUAAUUAAAAUUGAGAAAAAAAAUAGGAAAACAAGAAUAAAGGGAUGGGAACAUCAUAUAUUAUACAAUAUAUUUUGGUCUUCAGUCAUCUAUGAUAAACAAACGACAAUAAUACAAGUGGACCGACCAGCCAUGGCAGCCUUUUUUUGGGGGGGUUAAAAAUAUAUUGUAGUUUGAUAAAAUUUUAAUUUUAAUUUUAAUCUUAUACUUAAAAAAAAUUAUUUAAAAAACUCAGUACAAUUAUUAAAAAUGUAAAUAUUUUCUGUUAGCAUUUGUCAAUUUAAUAUGCUGAUUAGGCUGUUCUCUUGUGAUUGUGACAAGGCAUAUAUGUUGAUCAAUUGACAAAUUUUUAUGGUAACUAUCAAUGAUAAUAAUGAUUUAAUUAGAAUUCUUUUUAACUUUUAAAGUACAUAGACUAAAUCUCAAAAUUUAUCAAAGUAUAAGGACUAAUAACAUAUUUUAACCUUUUUUUUUUCAGCUGCAUACCAUGCUAGCUUUAUUAGAUUUAAACGGUAAAAUCGAGCUUAUAAAAAUCAUGAAGUCUUAGGUUUAAAUCCCCUUAUUCUUAUAACAUGUAUGUAUUUAUAUAGAUUUAUCAAAAUAUAAAAAAAAUAUAUAAAUAUUCUCGAAAUAAUAUUUGUUGCGUUAAAAACUGAAUAGGCUUUUAGUAAUUUUACAGUUGAAUCAAGACUCGAUUAAUGAAUAAAACCAAUUCGAUCAAUCACAAAUUAUAAUAGUAUGGAUAUAUAGUUUAGUUAUAACUGAUAACUCCUUGUGGUGCAAUGGAAUGUUUGCCACAUUUUCGCUGUCAAAACUAAAGUUUAGACUGGUGGUCUAACUGGUUAAGUUGUUAGUUCAAUUAAGUCUAUAUCAAUUUUCGAAUUAACCAAUCCAAUAUCUUUCUCUAAAUCAAUACUCCAAUUAAUUUUCGACGUUUCUAUUUUCGCACGUGAGUACAUAUAUAUCAACAUGUAUGUGUAAAUAUAUAAUAAUGUGUAGUUACGGAGGGCCCUUUCCCAUUUGAUGUUCGCAAAAACAAUUGUUUAUCCACAAUAAAUAUUUAAUUUCGGCUAUUAAUAUUUAUGCUUUGAGCAGUGUUUCUGAAGGUAAUAAUAAAGUUACUCAAAAUUAAAUAUCCGCUUUACUUACUGUGUUUAUUUGGUGAAAAAUAAAUUAUCAAAGAAAUCAUUCUUAAAAAAGAGGGUAAAAUCAAGGUUUUUUUAAGAAAAAUGUCUUACCAAUUUUUUUCUAUAAGACAUUUUCCAAAUUGAUAAAGCUCUGUUCAUUAUCUUCACCGUAGAAGAAAUAAAAAGGGGAAGCUUUCAGAGCAAUAGAGGCACUGUCGAAGAAAAAGCCCCUUAUAUUCUAAUUUUAUAUUUUUUAUGAUUUAGUCCUUGAAAUCUAAAUUUUUUCUAGUCUACAAUUUAAUUCCUCAAAACUAGAUUUUCUUAUUCUACACUUCAGUCUUAAACCUUGUUUUGUACAGUUUUGCAAAAUAGUCCAUUUUUUAAAAUUUCUAGAUUUUAUAAUUUAGUCCUUACAACUAAAAUUGUCAAAAUUUCCAAAAUUAAGUCCUUGAUUUUUGAAUAGUUAAACUUUCAUAUUCUAUUUUUCAAAAUUGUAAAUUCUCAAAUAAUGUAAAUUAGUCCAAAAACUCAAGUUUUGAAAUCUUUACAAUUUAACCCCUAUAGUUUCAAACAUUACUAUUUUAUGCUCAACUUUCCAAAUUUUCAUAUUUCAUAAUCACUACAUCAAUGUUUCAAUUUCACUACUCAAACCCUUAGAAAUUGAAAAUUUACAAAAUUUACAAAUUAGUCCUUACUUCAAUUUUUUAUCAAAUUAAAUAUUUUUCAACUUACUCAUCCAAAUAAUAUUAAAAAUAAAUAUUUACCACUUUAAACUUAAUUAAACAUAAAUUUAUAUAUAUUCUCUAAUGUACGAAAUUAACAAUUAAGCUUAAUUAAGUAAAUUAAGAUUAAUUAAAACUAAAACAUGAUUAAUUAAAAUAUAAAUAAGCUUUAUGAAAUAAAAUCAAUUAAACAAUGAAAAAAUAAUAAAAUCUCAAAUGUACGUUUGUUUCAUUGAAAACAAUUUUCAUGAAAUAUUUUCAGGAGAUCUGUCAAACAACAGAAAAUAUUUUACAUAAAUUCAUCCAAACACCAGAAAAUAUUAGCUUUUCUAAGAAAGUAAGUCAUUUUCCAGAAAUUUUUUUCAAAAAUCAUUUUCAGUGAAACAAACGGAGCCUUAAUAGCUCUUUUGAAAGAAUUUAAUAACAGUUAUUUGUUUUUAGAUGUAUGCAUACUAGUAUUUAGUUUUUUUUAAUUUAUUUAGUUUGUUACAUAACGUGUCACGAAAAUAGUAUAAAGUUUCAAAAAUAUAUUGUACUUCUAAUGGGAGCUGCAAAUUUGAACUUUAGAUAUAAUAUUAUUGAGAAAAUAAUCACAAAUCUCGAAUUAAGAUUUUCAUGUUAUGGCCCAUUAGACUUUCAGUGCCCAAACUCUUCAAGUUCGGCUAAAGUAACUAGCAGCCCGGUAGAUGCUGCUGCAUUAGGUACUUGUUCACAAAAUUCAUAGCAUCAGCAUCAAUGUCGUCAAGGUGAUUCAUUGUUGUGCUCUGCAUCUGUUUUUCACCUCAUCAAUGAAAGUUUGCAUGUUCCUGUCAGAGGAACCACCGUCUGCAAUUGCUUCCUCCGCCGCUAGUUUCCACUUCAAUGCGUUGCUCUUCAAAUCCUUUGCCUUCAGCCCUAACGUUGCUUCCACAAAGCAUUUUGCCACCUCUUCUUUUGGAGUUAUCCCUUUUUUGCCCUUUCCACGGCCCAUUCUCAAGCCGGUUUUGAACACAUCGACCAAGUAAACAGCAUUUGUCACUUGAUCGCCCCAUUGAGGGAACGCAAUGAUGGGCACACCACAUGAAAGCGUCUCCAACACCGAGUUCCAACCGCAAUGCGACAUGAAGCAGGAAAUUGAAGGGUGGGUCAGCACUUUCACUUGCGGACUCCAUAGCAAGAUCUUGCCAUUGUCACCCACUUUCUCCAAAAACCCUUCAGGCAAAGUGUGGAAUGGAAGGCCAAACUCCUUUGCUGGUGGUUUCAUUACCCACAAGAAUGAGAUACCAGUGGCUAACAGCGCCUUAGCUAUUUCAUCCACUUGUUCUUGUUUCAAGUAAACAACGGUACCAAACGAGAUGUAUAUCACUGAGGAGGCCGGUUUGGAGUCGAGCCACUCGAUGCAGUCGUCGGGUUUCAUCAUGUCACAACGGAUCGUGCUGUUUGGUACUUCCGGGUAUUUGACCAAUGGACCAACAGUCUUUAUAAGGCAAAAUUUGGACAUGUAUUCAACUAUUUCAGGUUCUAGUUCCUGGAAAGUGUCUAUUAAUACACAAAAUGGCUUAUCAAGUUUCUUAAAUUGACCAAGAAUGGCGGUCCUCAAGAAAGCAAAAGGAGUUGAAGGGCGCAAAUAGCUAGGAACUUCAUCGUGCUUGAGAAGUGGCAUGGACGGCAACUGAACAUCAAUUUCAGGAUCAGUUUCAGUAGGAAACGGCACUAACCCAUGAUUGUAAUGGUAAUAGGCGGCGAAACACGCGCAAGACUGCACCCAAAGCAUUGCUGAAGGGAUGCCGAGACUUUCAGCAACAUCAGAUGCCCAAGGAAUGUAAGGGUUGUUGAUUAAGCAGGAAACGGGACGGUUUUGCUCGGCGUAUCUCUUGAUCAUCGCUGAAAUCGCUGGUUUGCCUGCGAGCUCCAGUUGGUGCAUGUAUUGGUCGAGGUGUGCGCGUCUCGGGUCGUCGUCGUCCCAACCAUCCUGGAACGAUUCAAAUCGGAGAAAGCCAUCGCCCACAGGGAUAAGCUGGUCGUCAGUGAUGUUGUUGGCUUUAGCCAUCUGUUUGCCGAAGACUUUGGGGGUAGAUAGUGUGAUAAGCAAACCCUUGGAGGCAAGGCGCUUGCCGAGUCUAAGUAGAGGGUUUACAUGGCCUUGGGCUGGAAAUGAAACAAGAAACGCAUGAAGCAGAGGCUCAGUUCUCAUUCUACGCUUAAAAGAAGAGAAAGAUGCCAAUUAUCUAUUGAGCAAUAUAUGGAGGAAUGAAAUGGUAGUGUGUGUAUAUAUACACACACACAUAAUGAUUUAUUUCAAGAUAUAAUAUUUUAAUAUUUUUUAAAAUUUAUAUAUUUUUGUAAUUUUUACAUUUUCUAUUUUUUUUUAUAAAUUUUACAAUAAUUUUCAAAUUUCUAAUAUUUUUAUAAUUUCUUAUAGUUCAUUUAAUAAUUUUAUUAUUUUUUACCAUUUUAAAAAAAUUCUAGCAUAUUUUUAAUUUUUUAAACAAUUAUAUUUAUUUAUUUCGAUCCCCACUUAUGGGAAUGGAGCACAUUUCAUAGCCAGCCGUUUACCUUUUCGAAGAGCACUUGCAAUGAGAGCAUUAAUUACUACUGUCGGCUAUGAUACGCUAACAAUGACGAAAAUAUAUAUAUUUAUAAUUUAUUUAUUUUUUAAAAUUUUUAAAUUUUUUAGGUUUUUUUUGGAUGAUGGCAUCAUUGCAUCAUCAGUGUAGGCCACAGAUAAUUUUAUGAUUGGUUGGAUAUCACAACAUUUUUUUUUUUUUAACGUCCAAAGGACUGAACUGAAAACUUUUGAUAAAGUUAAAGAUUGAACUGAGAACAUCUAAUAAUGUUAGGGAUUGAAAUAAGCCAAUUUAGGGGACAAAUAGACAUGUCCAUGGGUCGAGCCACCCGGCCUAGCUUGAAGACCAACCCGAAAAAUGGAAGGGUUUGAGUAAAAAUGUAGACCCAAAAAAUAGGCUUGGGCAAAAAAAAUAUGGCUCAUUUAGAAAAUGAAUCAGGCCUUGAGUAAGGCUUUUUUGGCUCUAAGCUCGGCCUGGACCGAAUAUGCAAAAAAUAUAUUAUUUUUUUACUGUUUUGUUGUUAUUUUCUUAUUUUUUUUCUCACUAUUUUGCUACCAUUUCACUAUUAUGUUAGCUACUAUUUUGUUAUUAUUUUGUUAUAAGUCUUGUUUUAUUAUUAAUUUUGUUACUAUUUUAGAGGCAUUUGCUUGUUAAGUUGCGCUUAUCUUAGUGUUAUUUAAGUAUAUAUAUUUUUAAUUUGUUUUUAAUUUGUUAGGAAACAUUUAUUUUAAUACUUUUAAUAUUUUUGAUGUAUUAUAUUUUUAAAAAAAUUAUAUAAAAAAAUUAAUACGGGUGUCUCGAGCCUUGAAUUUAACAUUUUAAUCCGGGCGGAGCUUAGACAAAAUUUUAGGCUCAUUUUUGAGCCGAACCCAGAUCUAGCAAACGAGCUUAAAAUUUUUUGUUGGGCUCGAUCCAUGAACACCUCUAAGACAAAGGAAGAAAAGCGGUAUACGUAAAAAAAAAAAAAACUACAGGUUGCAUUAAACUUUUCUUAAUAUGAGAUUAAUAUACUUACCUACUUCUUUAAAGCCAUAGAAUGGAAAAGAGAGAAAAUUGGCAUUUUCAACUUCACUUAUUAACGAAGAGACGUGGGGAAUGACUGGGUGCAAACCAAUUUUUUCUCCCAAAGGAUACAUAGUUGAUGUUUCUGGAUACUAUGUGUAUGUGUGUUCCCUUCUUCAGGUGGGAUAAAAUGACAAAUAUAAGCUCAAUUAUCAACUUCAAUUAGCUUCUUAAGACGUAUUUAUGUAUCUGUUAUGUUACGUAUGUAUGAUAAUAGAUUCUUAAGGUUUCUCUACGUAAGAUGUGAGCAUAUUGGAGCAUAUAACAAAUUAGGCCAUUGAGACGGUGAUGUGGUGUGAAUUAUGAGCUAGAUUACUUAUCGAGCGAGUGAAUACAUUUAAAUUUAAAUUCGUUUAAGUGCAUAAUGUCCUUUACUUUAAACUUAAGUUUGUUUACUUUACUCAUAUAUAUAGUGGCGGAGCCACUAUGAGACCACGGGGUCAUGACCCCUCAAGGUCUAAGAUUUUUCAAUUUUCUCAUUAUGGCCCUCCCAAAGCCCCUUCAAUAUUUUUAUACUAUUAAAUGUUCCAAAUCAUCUGACAUUACAGAAUCUGUCCAUAAUUUUUUAUCUUUGUCAAGGAUUAACAAAGAUACAAAUGUCAAAGAUAUAUUAAGGCCUACACAUUUUCCACUUAAAAUUGUGUUUCUUAUUAUAGAAAGAUGAAACUUUUUAACAAACCUCUCAGGUUUGAUGUUGUUGUUUUUUUUUUCUUUUUAUUAAACAAAUUUUCACUUAAGAUGAUGUGCUUCAUGUUAUACAAUUAUAGGUAAUUUGGGUGUUUGAAGUAAACUCCUAAAGUCUUCAUUAUAGGAGUUGGUUUUCUACAUGCAUGUGGGCACUAUUUGUUUGCAAUGCCUUUUGGUGUAGUCUGGUUUUUGUAGGUUUUGAUAUUAUUUUGGUGUUAUAUGCCAUAAAUAGUCUUAUAGUUGGGCUUUAUUUAAAUCUUUAAUAUUUGUAUCUUUCUAUUGAGAAAUAAGAUGUAUGUGACUUUGAGAUAGAAAUGAAAUUUCUAAGAAAAGGGAUAAUUAUGGAAAUUUGAUUAAAAUUUGUAGGAUAUGGUAAUAUAUUUGAGAGGUUGAUAAAUAAUUAAAGGGGUAAACUAUCAAAAUAGUCACUUUUGUUUAUCCCAGAUUACAUUUUAGUCACUUAUGUUUGAAAUGUUAUGUUUUAGUAACUUACGUUAACGUGUUGUAGCAUUUUAGUUACGGAGCCGUUAAUUGUUGUGGCUCGUUAAAUUAUCAUUUCAAACAAAAAUUUUAGGUUAAAUUAUACAAUUGGUCCCCAUAUUUUUUCUUUUUGAGCAAUUUAAUUUUUUUCUUUUAUGUUGUUUUAAUUAUCCUUUUUUUCCUUUGUUUUUCAUUCUCUUCUGCUUCUUCCUCUCUUUUCCUCCUUUCUCCAUCUCUUUUAAUGUAGUUUUUCUAUGUUUUUCAUUUGUUAAAACUAAAGGGGAAAAAGAAAAAAUUAAAUUGUUCAAAAAAUAAAAGUAUAGGGACUAUUUUUAACAAAUAAAAAACAUAAAAAAAACUACGUUAAAAGAGAUGAAGAAAACAAAUAGAGAAGCAGAAGAGAAUGAAAAAAAAAGAAAAAAAAAGUUAAAAACAUAUAAAUGGAAAAAUUAAACUGCUCAAAAUGAAAAAUAUGGGGACCAACUGUAUAAUUUAACCUAAAAUUUUUAUUUAAAAUGAUGAUUUAACGUGCCACGUCAGCUUACCGUUACACUGUUAAAGGCAGUCAACGGCUCAGUGACUAAAAUGUUAUAACAUAUUAACGUAAGUGACUAAAAUGUAACAAUAUUUCAAGCAUAAGUGACUAAAAUAUAAUAUGAGGUAAACAAAAGUCACUAUUUUGAUAAUUUACCAUAAUUAAAAAUAUUAAAAAUUCAGAACAAAUUGAUGGUUCAAUCAUCUGAUAUUGAUUUGUAAUGCUUUUUACUUAAAAUUUUAGAAGUUGUAUUUUAUUUAAUUUAUAUAGGUAAUCGAUUUUUAUUGGAUUGAGUGAUAAGAAGUUUGAUAUUGUUUUUAAAUAAAAUUUCCGGUAAAAUCUCCAUUAAGUUUGGUAAGAAGUUUCAUCACUAGAAGCACGUGAGAAAACAAACAUUUUCAGUACUCUGAUUACUACUAUAUCUCCAUUAUUAGGUUUGAACCUAUGUCUCUCCUUGAGGGUAUCCAAUGUACCUCACUAUUUGCACCCAACACUUGUUGGUUCAUGAGACUUUCUUUGUUAAUAUGACUUUUGCCAUUAUUAACAUAUAUUGAAAUUACUACCCAACGUAUUAAUUUGUCGUCCAAAAUCUUUCGAUAUUUUAUAAUCAUGUUAGUUUUCGAUUAAAUUUAGAGCUAGACCGGAAUCAAACUCUUAACCAGUAAGUAAAAUAUAUAUUUAGCAAAAAUAUAUAAUGUUUAGAAACUUGAAAUAAGAUUUAAAUAUGGAUGAAAAAAAUAUAAAUCAUUAUAUAUAUUAGACACAUUUAUAAAUUAAUAUAUUUAGCAAAGGGUAUAAAUUAUGUUAGGAUGAUUUUAAAAUAUUUAAUUUUUAAGUACCGAUAAAAUGGUAUCGCAUUAUUUACCUUUAAAAAUGUAAAAGUAUUAUUAUACACGCAUUGAUAUUUAAUAUCUUCUCUAAUUUAACUUUAAUUAAUUAAAAAAAAGCUUAACUUUAAUUAAAGUAUAAAAAAAUUAAAAAAAAUAAACAAACACUUUUCUUAUUUUAUAAUUUUUAAAUCAUUUUUAAAAUUUUUUACCUUAAAGAAAUCAUUAUUUUUUUUAAAUUAAUGAUUGGUUUCGAUUUUUAUUUUCACUUUUUUUUUCUUAUAAAUUGUUUUAUAAAUUUUUUGAAUAUUCUCUAAUACUAAAUUAUCUAUAAAUAAUUUUUUCAAACCAAAUCCUAACAGAGUUAAACUCAUACAAUUUACUUUCAAAUAACUUAACAUGUUUAUACGUAAAUGGAAAAGCUAUAGUUACAUAAUUAUAUUUAUUUCUAUUAUUUUCCAUCAUCAUUACAUUACCUUACAAAACAUCCAUAUAUCACUGCUAAACUAUCUCCACCUCUGUCGGGGAGUGCUUAUUCACAAAAUUCAUAGUAGCUGCAUCAUUGUCAGUGCUUGUGCAUCUCCUUCUCACCUCAUUAAUGAAGGCUUGUAUGUUCCUAUCAGAGGAUCCGCCACCUGCCAUCGCUGCCUCCGCCGCCGCCUUCCACUUCAAGGCGUUGCGCUUCAAAUCCUUUG
RNAcentral lists this long non-coding RNA (60749 nucleotides) under Gossypium barbadense (sea-island cotton). RNAcentral describes it as "long non-coding RNA (GBAR_LNC014574)". The stretch from base 6049 to 6191 matches the Rfam family "MIR7502 microRNA precursor family". Lineage: Eukaryota; Viridiplantae; Streptophyta; Magnoliopsida; Malvales; Malvaceae. The record is from RNAcentral.